RNAcentral lists this long non-coding RNA (49955 nucleotides) under Lactuca sativa (garden lettuce). RNAcentral's name for it is "long non-coding RNA (LSAT_LNC005640)". Lineage: Eukaryota; Viridiplantae; Streptophyta; Magnoliopsida; Asterales; Asteraceae. The record is from RNAcentral.
UCUUACCGCUAGUACGCCUCAUUCACGAAGCCGGUCUAUAAGGUGGGUAUAAGGUUGUUGCCUAUAAAAUGGUGACUUAAUGGGUGUCCACUCUCACCCACCGCUUGCUUGAUCGGUGGAGGGUCGUUAGCCGAACGGGUAAGACAAGGACUUAUUAAUUCUCAUUCAAAGUAUGAUGAAUAUUAUAAAGUAACUAAAUGUUUUAUUAAAUUCCCAAUCUUAGUUACUUUAGGAAAAAUGUGAAUAAGGUGCUAUUCCAUGAAAUUACACUUUACACUUUGAUUAAGUCGUUGGUGGAGCGUGUGUGGUUAACCGGCACACUAACUUGGACUUAACAAGGUAGGUAAAGGGUGACUUAGGGUUUAUUAUAGUAUCGAUGGAGCGUGUGUGGUUAACCGGCACAUCGAUUGAGUGAUAAACUUUAAGGGUACCAAGUGAUUUGCAUGGUUACUUCACACCUCGUUUUGUGAUCCUCGGUAUCCCAGUCACAAAACUUGGAGGGCACACUCGAGAUUGAAACAUGCCUUUGAAAAGUUCAUUGAAUCUCAAAGAAUCUAGGAAUUUCUAAGAACCAUUCAAAAACCUAAUACUAAAAUAUUGCGGUUUUCGUGGUGGAAAUUGGUGAAUCGUCAUUCACCUACCUUUCAAAUAUGAUAUAGCUUAGAUUACGGCAUACCUCUUCUAAGUUAUAUUAUAUUGUGAUUGGAUCCUAGCCUUAAUAUUACAUUUGGGUGUUUUAUUAAGGACUCUCUUAUAUCUAAACUAAUCUUGUCCUCUUUCCUUCAGAUGUCUUUCAACAAUGCUUCUGGCUCUAAUCCUAAUGGCUCCUUUACCCUUAUGAACUUGUGUGGGAAAGUCACCUUUGAUGGAUCCAACUUCAAUGAGUGGAUCAGAAACAUCAGGAUGAUUACCCGCUACGAGGACAAAGAAUAUGUCCUUGACAAGGAGCUUAAGGAGAUUGAUGAGUCCACUGCAACUCCUCAGGAGAUCGCUGAAUUUCGGGCACAUGAAAGGGAUGCUACGAAAGUGGCUUGCAUCAUGAUGGCCACGAUGACAGCGGAACUCCAAAAGUCUUAUGAGGAUUUCUACCCUUAUGAAAUGCACCAAGAUUUGAUGGAAAGAUACCAUCAAAGUGCAAGACAAGAGAGGUAUGAAAUCAUCUGCUCCAUGAUAACAACCAUGAUGAAGGACGGGGAAUCCGUCACGAGCCACAUGCAGAAAAUGCAAAGGUAUGUGGAUCGUUUGCUGAAGCUUAAUGUGAACUUCCCGGAGGAUCUUGCAAUAGAUAUUAUUUUGCAUUCCUUACCAUCGUGCUAUGAUCAAUUCCGCAUGACAUAUCACAUGAACAAGGAAGAAGUCACCCUCAGCAAACUUCAGGGACUUCUCAAGACCGCAGAAUCAGGUCUUAAGGGGAAGUCGGUUGCUAUCACUCCUACUCAAAACUCUACUCCGGUUUUGGCAAUCGGGAAAAGUCGAGGGAGGAAGAGAAAGAGCUCUUCUAAGGGUACCAAGGUUCGGACCCUUGAUGGCUCUUCUUCAAGUGGAACCAAGAAAGGUUUCAUUACUCCUUCUUCUGACCCAAAAGAGGCUGAAUGCUUCUAUUGCCAUGAAAAAGCUCAUUGGAAGCGGAACUGCCCAAAAUACCAGCAAGAUGUGAAGGAUGGGAAAGUUAAACCCAACCAUGCAGGUAUUUACACUAUCAUUUCUAAUAACUCACCCCAUUCUAAUUCUUGGGUCCUUGAUACCGGGUGUGGUAUUCACAUUUGUUGUGACUUGCAGGGACUAAGAAGAAGUGAGGAUGUGGAGCAAGGAAGGAUAAACUUGAUCAUGGGGAAUAGGAAAGCUAUACCUGUUACCAAGAUUGGAGUUUAUACUUUAUCGCUAAGUAGUGGGUUUAGUUUAGAUUUGAAUAAGUGUUGUUAUUCGCCAGGAAUGGCAAGAAAUAUUAUUUCCUUUCAUGCUUUGUACAAACAAGGGUUUACCUUUUCAUUUAAUAAUGAAGUUGGUUCUAUAGAUGUUUUCUAUAAUAAUGUCUUUUAUUUUAAAGCAUUACCUUGUGAUGGUGUGUAUGAAGCUGUAUCUGUUGUAGAUAACUUGGGAAAUAAUGUUUUGUGUAUUGAUUCUACUAAUAAUAACUUGGAUAAAGCAUCUUUAUGGCAUUGUCGUCUUGGACAUAUAAGCAAGAAACGCAUAGGCCAACUCCAAAAGGAUGGAGUCUUGGAGUCGUUUGACCUAAAGUCAGAUGAUAGUUGCGAAUCAUGCUUACUUGGAAAAAUGACAAAGUCACCCUUCACAGGUUCGUGUGAGAGGGGUGAAGGUUUGUUGGACCUUAUACACACGGAUGUGUGUGGACCAUUCAAACAUGCCACAAGGGAUGCUAAUCGUUAUUAUUUGACUUUUACUGAUGAUUAUAGUAGAUAUGGAUAUGUCUACUUGAUCAAGCAUAAGUCAGAGACUUUCGAGAGGUUUAAGGAAUUUAAACAGGAAGUCGAGAAUCAAUUGGGCAGGAACAUUAAGAUGCUUCGAUCCGAUCGUGGUGGUGAGUAUCUUAGUUCAGAGUUCCUCGACUAUCUAAGGGAAUGUGGGAUAGUCUCACAAUUGACACCUCCCAGGACACCACAGUUGAAUGGUGUGGCUGAGAGGCGUAAUCGAACCUUGUUAGAUAUGGUUCGUUCCAUGAUGAGUCGAGCUACGCUACCAAUCUCAUUCUGGGGGUAUGCCUUAGAGACUGCCGCCCAUAUUCUUAAUCUAGUCCCUACAAAGAAAGUUGCCAAAACUCCUCACGAGAUGUGGACUGGUAAAGUACCUAAACUAGACCACAUCAAGAUUUGGGGUUGCGAGGCUUUCGUGAGACGCGAGACUCAUGAUAAGCUCGAACCUCGAAGCGAGAGGUGUAUUUUCAUCGGUUACCCACAGCGAUCCUUUGGUUACCUCUUCUACAGACCUAGUGACAAUGUGGUCUUUGUAGCAAGAAGAGGAGUCUUUCGAGAAAGAGAGUUUAUAAGCCAAGGAGACAGUGGGAGGCAAAUUGAUCUUGAAGAAAUUCAAGAAUCAAGCGGUGAAGGAACUUCAAACUCUAGCCCUCAACUUGAGGAGGAAACUCCUGUUGAGCCAAUUGACAAAUCUGUACCUCUGAGACGUUCCACGAGAGUUAGGAGUGCACCUGAGCAUUACUAUGGAUUCCAUAUUACUGCAGAAGGUGAGACACUUAUUAGUGAUGAGACACUAGUAAGUCAAGAUGACCCUAACAGCUACGAGGAAGCCAUGGCAGGCCCCGAGUCUGCUAAAUGGAAAGAGGCUAUGGAUAGCGAGAUACAAUCCAUGUAUGACAAUCAAGUUUGGAACUUGGUUGAAAAUGUACCAGGUCGUAAGACAGUAGGGUGCAAAUGGGUCUUCAAGAAGAAGACCGACAUGGAUGGUAAAGUACACACUUAUAAGGCUAGACUGGUUGCAAAGGGCUUCUCUCAAAUUCCUGGAGUGGAUUAUGAUGAGACCUUUUCUCCGGUAGCCAAGAUUAAGUCUAUUCGGGUUCUGUUAGCCAUAGCUGCAUUUCAUGACUAUGAAAUAUGGCAGAUGGAUGUCAAAACCGCUUUCCUUAAUGGAAAGUUGGCUGAAGAUGUUUACAUGAGUCAGCCAGAGGGUUUUGUCAGCAACGAGUACCCUAAUAGAGUGUGUAAGCUUGAGAAAUCCAUUUAUGGAUUGAAGCAAGCACCUCGCAGAUGGAAUCUUUGCUUUGAUGAAAAGGUCAAGGAAUUUGGCUUUUCUAGGAGUGAAGAUGAAUCUUGUGUGUAUGUCAAGGCUAGUGGGAGUAUAGUUAGCUUUUUGGUAUUGUAUGUGGAUGACAUACUACUCAUAGGAAACGACAUUCCAACCCUGCAGGAAGUAAAGUCCUGGCUUGGGAAGUGUUUCGCUAUGAAGGACCUUGGUGAAGCUGCCUAUAUUCUAGGGAUAAGAAUCUUGAGAGAUCGGAGUAAAAGACUAAUUGGACUUAGUCAGAGUACCUACUUGGAUAAGGUGCUGAAGAGAUUCAGCAUGCAGGAUUCCAAGAAAGGAGAGUUACCCAUCCAGAGUAACACCAGAUUGAGUAAGACACAAAGCCCUAGCACUGAGGCUGAGAUAGCAGAAAUGAGUCGAACACCUUACGCUUCGGCUGUAGGAUCGAUCAUGUAUGCUAUGACGUGUACUCGACCCGAUGUAGCUUUUGCCUUGAGCAUGGUUAGCAGGUAUCAGGCGAACCCUGGCAAGGCACACUGGACUGCGGUAAAGAAUAUCCUCAAGUACCUACGGAGGACUAAGGACUGGGUCCUUACCCUCGGUGGGAGUGAUGACUUGAGAGUUGUAGGGUAUAGUGAUGCUAGCUUCCAGACUGAUAGGGAUAAUUUCCGCUCUCAGUCGGGCUGGGUCUUUACCCUAAACGGAGGAGCAAUUUCUUGGAAGAGUUCCAAGCAAGAGACAGUGGCAGAUUCUACUUGUGAAUCAGAGUAUAUUGCAGCUAGCGAAGCAGCAAAGGAGGCGAUAUGGCUGAAGAACUUCAUUGGAGACCUUGGAGUUGUACCAGCUAUUAAAGAGCCAAUGGAAAUUUUCUGUGAUAGUGAAAGUGCUGUUGCCUUAGCCAAGGAACCAAGGGAUCAUGGGAGAUCCAGACACAUCGACAGAAAAUACCAUUUCAUUAGACAUCGGAUCGAAGAAGGACUCCUCGUGGCAAAGAGGGUAUCAUCGGAUGAGAACCCAGCAGAUCCCCUCACGAAGGGACUGAGUAGGGUUAAGCAUCUCCAGCAUGCUCGGAGCAUAGGGCUGAAGGAUGAUAUAAGUUUUAGUAGUUAGAUAACCCAGAAAUUUGUAAAGUGUAAUUGACAUUUGAUGAUGAAUAAAAGGUGUUUUAUUUAUGAGUAAAGUGUUGCUAUCUCUUGUCAAUCGUUUACUAUAUUUCUUUUGCAUGUUUUGACUUCCAGAAUAAUUUUGUUUGGUGUAACAUAUUAUUCAAACCUCCACAGUCGGUCAUAUGUCGGAAGUAGGUAUGAAUCAAGACUGUCAUGAUGGGUUGUAGAGGUCUAAGGUGUUGGACAAGGCUACAACAAUCAUGAGUGCUCAUAAGUUCUGAGCAUUGGACUCAACCCACGCUCACUGGAAUCACUUCAUGGAAUUCUAUCUCGAGUGAUCGUGAGACGGUAAUAUCAUAUAAGUCUUCAAACCUAGAGAUAUGAUUUGUUACUUACAAGUUGGUUAUGCAUUGACUGUACGAAACCGCAUUGGUAACUCGAUGUUAUAAAACGUACUUUUGUGUGUAAUUCAAUGAGUGGUAGAACAAACAUAUGAGUCGAAGUUUAUCUGUUCCUUCUUGGAUUAGAAGCUGAUAUCUGGGCCCCUCGAUGAUUUUGUUUUGACCCAUGUACCGGGCCCGGUCAGAACUAAGUUGAUGUGUUCAAUUAAGUUCUAUGUCAAACAAAUCGGAAAUCGGGAAACAAAUGCUGGACAAUAAGCAAGACAAUGUUCCAUGUAUUUGUCCGGCUGAUAUCUAGAACGGAGGAUUAUAUGAUCACUUAUCUUAAAUGGCGUACCAUCAUCUUCUCAGUUCCGAGAGACCUUGAAAGAGCUACGAUUGCCGGUCGGUUCCUGAAGUACUAGAGAUAUAGUUAUUAGACUUAUCCAAGUGGGAGACUGUUGGAUAAGGUGUCUAAGUCCAUAACUAUUUCGGGCUUGUACUUGACCCGACCCGGCAUGGUCCAUUUGGGUUGCAUGGCACCAUGCAAUUGGAUAGACUAAAUGAGAGAAAUAACACUUGGAGAUUAUUAAUAUAUUAUAAGUUCUAAUAUAUUAAUAAUAUUAUUUGAUUAGUUGAUCAAAGAAUUAAUUUGGAAUUAAUUAAGUGAUCAAAGGAUAACUAAUUAAAUAUAUGGGUUGAUUAUGUAAAUCAUCCAUAUCUUGUAUAGUGGGCUAAGAGGCUCCAUGGAUUAUCAAGUUGGGUUCUACCCAUAGGAUGCUCCAUGGAUGCUCCAUGGGAGUUACAAACCCAUGGGUCAUGGAAAUGAAGAGUCAUGACACAUUAGGGUUUACAUGGUGUAACCCUAGAUGUGUCAGCACUAUAUAAGAGUCCCAUUCUCCACCAAAAUCGGUUACACAUACAUACACAUAAGAAACUAGAGGGCUUGGCCGAUUUGAAGAAGUGUGUAUUAUCUCAAGAGUCUUUUCAAGAGCAUUUGGUGUUGUGUGAAGCAUUUGAGGCAUCACACUUGGGGUGGUAAGCUCACAAGGUUUCAAGGAACAUAAGCAACAACAAGGUAAGUUAUUCUAUCUUUCAUUCAAGUUAAAAUUGUUCCCCAUGUAUGCUAGAUAGGAAUAUAACCUUGGAAAUUCAACUUUGCAUGAUAAUUAGACAAACAUAGAUCCAAGGUUAUUAGGGUUGCAUGUACACUUAGGAAGUGUUAGAAUGCUCAAAACCCAUCAUACGUUUCAAUUGGUGAGUUCAUGCACUACAGCUAAAGAGAUAUGGGAAAGGGUGAAAGAAUUGUAUUCCACUGAUGAAGAUCUAGAACAUUCAAUUCAGACCUUGCUGCUUUCUUAAUUUGGCGAUUUCAAACAAAAGCACGAAGAGAAACUCGUUUAGACUUUUGAUCGGUUUAAUCAUCUUCUAACUAAGAUGAUAAAGCACGAGAUCGAAAGGAAGGUUAUUGAACAUAAAGUUGCCUUCAUGAACGGUCUUAGACCCGAAUGGAUGGAAGUCGUGUCCACAGUAAAGGCACACAAACAAUUUAAAUCAUACUCACUAGCGAAACUGGUGGGAAUUCUGAAGUCCCAUGAAAGUGCAGUGUCAAAGGAAACGAACGUGGUUUCCAGUUUGGGUUCGUUAGCUCUUGUUUCUAAAGGGAAAAGUGCUGUUGAGGAAGAAGAAGAAUUGGACCUUGCUGACUAUGAUCUACCUGGUGAAGAGUAUGCCCUGAUGGUUUCCAAUCCUAGAAAGUUGAUCAAAAGAAAGUUCACAGCCAACAAGAACCGAAACUGGAAGAGAAGUUAUAGUUCUGAAAAAGUGAAGGAGGAACCGAAGAUAGGUUCGAAGUUAGAAGAAUCCAAGAAAGAGGCGAAGGUUGGUGGUGACUCAGGAUUUGAUGGUCAUUAUUGUGGAGGCAAGAAUCGCUUUGCCAAGGACUGCAUGCUGAAGAAAAAGGCAGAAAAGAUUGAUGAGGAUGAUAAGGUAGCGAACCUCUUAAGACGAUUAGAGGAGAUCAAGAAAAUAAAAUCAACAGAUAACAAUAAAACCAUGAAUGCUUUGAUUGUACAAGAUACAGGUAACAAUGAUGAAUUCGGUGGAGUGGUAGUGUGGUCCACGGAUUCAGGGGACGAAGAAGUAAGAAAACCGAAUCAUGGCAAGGCGAUGCUAGUGAAAGAAGAAUAUGUUGCAGGAAGGUGUUUGAUGGAGACAAAAGGAGUAUCUCAGAUGAGAGGAUAUACAAUAUAUGGUGGGCUGGAAGAUGAGAAGGAGCGAGAGGACAUGUGUUUUGCUACGAAACUUGUCAGUGCACAGAUCAACGAAUGUGAUGAGUUGAUCAAGAAGGUACAAAAUAUUCUUUCUUCUAUGAAAAUACUUGUUACUAACUAUGAAAAGGAACUGAAUAGCUUAAAAUCUAAAUUUUCUAGUAUAAGUAGUAGUCUUACCCAAACUUGUGUCACAAACUCUAACCUGACUGAUCAAAUUAGCAGGAUAUUAUCGAAGAGUGAGGAGAGGAGGAUGUGGAUUGAGCAGAAGGAGAAAGAGUUAAUUAGGUCUAAGGAUGAGUCAAUCUAAUUGCUAAAAGACUCUAUUUUAAUAUCACUCAAUUGCAUCUUGAUUGUGAAAUAGGAAAGAAGAUACAUCGCAUGAUUUUACCCUUCCUUUAGUUAAAGGAGGAUGAAGUUGAUGUCGAAGCUUACAACUGUGAAAAUGCUCUAUCUUCUGACGAAGUCUCUCCUGCCUACAAAAUUGGUCUUGACAAAAUAGAGUCCUACAUAAAGUCUAAAGACCAUAAGGACAUGCUCAAAAAUCUAUUAGACAAAAAUGAUAGAUUGAAGUUAAAAACCGAAACUGUACAAAAAUUUGACUAAUUGAAUGCCAAACUAAGUUCAGAAAAUAAAAUUGAUGUUGAAAAUGCAUCUGAACUUAAUGAGGAUGAUGACAUGAGUGAAAUCUAUGUAGAAGAUGUGGUGGACUAUUCAGAAUUUGUCAAAAGCGAACCCGAAACUUACAAAAUAUGAUUUUUGAAAACUCUAAUGAGUUCGCUCGCUCGUCGACAGGCAAGACCAAAAUUCUCAAGGCAAAAGUUGUUGUGUAUCAAAAGGUUCAAACCACUCCAAAUCAAGUCUACACAGUUCAGGGAGUCAGUCCUUAACAAACAGCAAAGCUAACAACUAUGGUAGAAGAAGAUAAUGCAGCUGGAUGUGCAGAGUUCUUUUGGUUAGCACCAAUAGACAACGCUGAUGAAACAAAAGGAAUAUCUCAGAAAACCUCAUGGAGAGUGAAGGGUAGGUACGUGCCGGAACCACUUAACGAGCCUGCAAGAUACGAUGUGCCAAGCACAAGUGGCACCAAAACAUCUUUGGGCGAACCAAUGAUAGCUUCCAGUGAGACAUCAUCAUUAAAGAGCGAAAGCCAUGCUCAAGUUCCAAAGAAAAAAGCCAACAUUCAUAAAAAUCCAAAACAGGUGGCAGAAUGAAAACACGAACGAAAUAUGAGAUACAAGAAGAAUCUCUCAAAAAGAAAACAGUUUUGGAGAUCUCAAAAUCCUCAUUAUGUAAGGUAUGAAAGGACGCAUAAGUCACGAGGAGAAUCAAGAAGAAACUGAAAGGAGGAUUUUGGUCCUUGGAAUGAAAGGAACCCAAAGGAAAGCUUCGGUCCACAGAAAGAAAGCAACUGAAAGAAUGGUUUCAGUCCUCAACACAAUAGCAACCGAAAGAAUGGUUUCGAUCUUUAACGUAAUAGGAACCGAAAGAAUGGGUUCGGUCCCAAGUUCAAUCAGACGAACAGAAGGGAAGAGUGUUCCCAUUCUCAACCAAGGAAGAGUAAUAAUCAAUGAUCUAAUGUCGCUUCUAAACCCUAUUCUUCUCAUUCUCAUUCUAAUUCUUAUCCUUCAAAAGAUUUAAAGGGGAAAGGAAAGCUCUUUCCAGAAGACAACAAAUGCCCGAAAGAGAUCCAAAAGGAUGCAAACGUCAAAAUCUCAAACCUCACCUCUAAUGAAUCUAAGCCAAACAAAAUUAAAGUUUUCACAAUAAAGAGAAAAGAUGGAACAACUCUAAUUAAAAGAACUUAUAUGGUUGAUGUUUCUCUUACUAUUCGUUGUCCUAUAAAAGGCUCACAAGGACACAAGAAACUUUGGGUUCCUAAAUCUGCUUAAUAUUUUGAAGGUUAUAUAUGACGAGUAGUUUGACAAAGAAUGGUAUAUUGAUAGUGGCUGCUCGCAUCACAUGACAGGACGAAAGGAAGAAUUGAGAGAGUGUCGGUCUCUCAAGGAUAGUGGAAUUGUGAAGUACGGAAACAAUUUGUUUGGACCUAUCAAAGGCUAUGGAAUGAUUAUGAAUGGUGAUUUCUCAAUAAGAAAGGUCGCAUACAUUGAAGGAUUGCAACACAACCUUAUCAAUGUAUCACAGCUGGUAGUUGGGACUGGAUUGAAGGUCUUAUUUGAUGAUGAAGGCUCAGAGAUAGUCGAAAAGAAGUCAAAUAAAAUUCUAUUGAAAUCAAAGCGAAAAGGGGGAAAUGUACCCUUUAAACCACAAUCUAAUUCGAGGGAAACCAGCAGUCUGCUUGCUAACGAAGGCUCACUCAGACGAAAGCUGGUUAUGGCAUCGAAGGCUCUCUCAUCUUAAUUUCAAGGAUAUAGACAAGCUAGUUUUAGGAGAUCAUGUUCGAGGUCUUCGAGUUCUCAAAUUCGACAAAGAACAUCUAUGUGCAACUUGUGAAAUGGGAAAGCAAAGUAGACAAAGUGAUCCUUCUAUUAUCAACACAAAGGUGAUAGAACUAUUGGGACUGUUGCAUAUCGAUCUAUGUGGUCCCUCCUCUAUUGAAAGCAUUGGUGGGAAACAGUACAUUCUGGUCAUCAUUGACGACUUUUCUUGCUUCACAUGGGUGUUUUUCUUGAAGCAAAAAUCAUAGGCUACUCCUAAGCUCAAGCUCUUCAUAAAGCAAGUAGAGGUUCAACAGAGGAAAGUGGUUCGUAAUGUAAGAAGUGACAAUGGCUUGGAAUUCAAGAACAAGGAUUUCGAAGAUUUUCUAGCUGAGAAGGGAACGAAUGAUAAUUUCUCGGCUCCAUAUACUCCACAACAGAAAAAAAAUCAUCGAAAGGCGAAACCGAUCUUUGUGCGAAGCAGCUCGAACUAUGCUAAGCUUCAGUUCCUUGCCUCUGGAUUUCUGGGCUGAUGCUAUUGCUGCUGCUUGUUACACUCAUAACAGAUCAUAUCUAAACAAGUGAUUACCUAUUACCCCUUACGAGAUCUUGAACAAUCGCAAGCUAAAUGUGAAAUUCUUUCAUGUGUUCGGUUCAAGAUGCUUCGUCUUCAACUCAAAAGAGAAUCGAAACAAGUUUGAUGCUCAGGCUGAUGAAGGAAUAUUUUUGGGCUACUCCUUGCACUCGAAGGCAUAUAGAGUUCUAAACAAACACUCUAAGAAGAUUGAAGAGACAUACUAUGUCACUUUUGAUGAUAGCUAUGUCAAGAAGAUGAAGACAACUGAAGGUGUAAUGCAGGAAAUCUUUCCAAAGACCAGUCAAGUUACAGUUGCUAUCUCAAACCUUUUCGAGCAAUAUAUGCUUCUUUUUGAUGAACCUGAAAAUGCUAUCGAUUCUGAAUCCAAGGAGGAAGAUAACAAAGUUGACAGUCUAAAGCAAAUCAUUGACGAUGCUACACAUAAGAUGGCUGAUGAUCAACCAAAGGAAACCGAAAGGCCUGACUUAAGCGAACCUUCGGUUGACCGUCCUUCUGUCCAGGGGGAGGGUUCGUCUCUACCAAAGGAUCAAUGUUCUUCAUUCCAGGGGGAGAAUUCAACGUCACAAUCAUCUAGCUCAACCGAAAGUCCAAACGAAGGGGAACAUUAUGAUCCAGAUAUUGAACUAGUGUCAUCCUUCGAGGGGGAGAAUACACAUGUCAAUGAUGAUGAUACACUAUUAGACUUGGAAGAAGAAAUCAAUGCAGAUCUGGAUCCCUCUUGUGAUCCAAAUUACCCACCUCUCAUUAAAUGGACCAAAGAUCAUCCUCAAAGUCAAAUCAUAGGGGAUUCUUCAGAAAAGGUAUUAACUCGAUCACAGAUCAAAGCGAAACAAGCUGCACUAUUCUCUCAAGUAGAAUUUUUCAGGGUCAACUCUUUUGUCUCCAAAAUUGAACCGAAGACUGUGAAUUCGGCUCUUGACCAUUCUGAUUGGGUUUAAGCCAUGCAAGACGAGUUAAACGAGUUUGAAAGAAACAAAGUAUGGCAUCUAAUUCCUACUCCAAAGGAUGCUUCGAUUGUCAGUCUCAAGUGGGUAUUCAGAAAUAAGAUGGAUAAGGAGGGGAGUGGGAUUCGUAACAAGGCUCGGUUGGUUGUAAAAGGAUAUUGCCAAGAGGAAGGUAUCGAUUAUGAAGAGACCUUCGCUUCAGUUGCAAGAUUAGAGUCGGUUCAAAUCUUUCUUGCUUAUGAUGCACACAAAAACUAUGAAGUCUAUCAAAUGGACAUAAAGUGUGCCUUUCUCAACGGGGAACUUGGUGCGAAGACUAAUUCUUCAAUCUUCAAGUGAUUCUGACUCAGAAUGUGCCACCAACUCAACCCACACCUCUUCCAAGUGAAUCUGACAACGAAAGCUCAGAGGAUGAGGGUUCAGUGAGUGGUCAUACACCGUCUCGCUCGCCUACACCAGAGGUACAUGUUCGGUCCAAAGCUCCUUCUCCUCCACCUGUUUCUGUUCCUGUUUCUAUCCCUCCUAUUUUUCCCAUCACUACAUCUCAACCAUCCACUACUAUUCCCAUUUUUGCUCCAAUAUUUACUGAAGCCACUACUACUGCCACUAUAGGAGUUCGAACCAACGUAUCUGAUACGGGGGCUCAUUCUUCAGCACCCACUCCUCCAGUCACUAUCGAACCUCCUAUAACUACCAGAACCCUAUCUCCCACCCAAUCUACCGAAACCAACACUGUUCUUGGAGGUGAGGACUUGGAGUUUGGUUCCACUUACUUCAGUCCCUACCGUGUCCAAAGUGAUGACGACGAAGAUGCUCCAGUAACCAAGCGCCAUCUCAAGGCUGUUACUGAAAAGCUUGAUCAGCUGCUUUCCUCCUCCUCCACUAGUGCUUAUUCUAAAGCGGCUCUUAAAGCUCUAUUCUCUUCGGUUGUUUAAGAGCAUGAUGCUUCUCUCUCUAGUGUAGCAAAGGCUAUCGAAGCGUCUACUUCUCAAUGUCAGAAGGCCUCGUCUGCUGUUGAGGCUUUGAUGAAGGAAUGUAAAGAAGCGACCGCAAAAGUCGAUAAACUAAUUUCUGAGGCUCAACUAUUCCUUGAUUAUUUGCAAGAUGAUGCUCAAAAGAACUCUCAGACAAUGAAUGCUUUGGUUGAUAUUCUUUAGUGUUCUCUUCAAGUUGAAAGGACUAAUCUUGAAGCUGCUCGUAAGGCCAUUGAAGCUGCCAAUGCCACCCUUCACACUGAUGUCAAUGAUCGUCUGACUCAACUGGAAGCAGAGUUGGCUGUUGAAAAUCGAAUAAUGGAUGAGUUAGACAAGCAUACAUCUCAGCUGAAAAUCCAAAACCUCAGGCUUUGUACUGCCACAACCGAACUUGAAGAUUUAAAGUCUGAAAGGGAAGUAACUAGAAGCUCUGUGGGUGACGUACAUUCCAUUUUACUACAUCUACUUGACGCCCAUGACUUCGUUCUAACUAUAUCCAUCAGACAUCAUUUGGCCGACAAACUUAGACCUGCAUUGGAUAUCCUUCGUCUGGUUGAGGGUGUUUCGGUGAAUUCUGUCAAGCCGAAACAAGGGGGAGAAAAGGAAAAGGUUACAACUCAACCUCCUCCCGAACCCAAAUCAACAACUGCAUCAAUGGAUAAUGAAGCUUCGGUCAGUAAAAGGGAUAAGAAAAAGAAGAAAAUUGGUGAAGAUGAUAUAAAGAUGAUGAUUUUGAAGAUAUUUUGGGUGAAAAUCCCUUUAACCCUUUUCAAAAAACAAAACUUUCUGACAAAGAGCUUGCAGAAAAGAUCAAGAAGGAAACGGCUGAGCUGGGGAAGAAGCAAAAAGAAAAGGAGCUCUUGGAGAAAAAUAAGUCCAUUUUUCCAGAGUGGACCAUUGAUUCGCUCCAAAAAGAUGCUAUAGAUGAACCGAGCACUUAUUGGAUCAAUCCUGUUAUGUCGUUCGGCCUAGAGAACUCGAAGGAUGCGCAGUUUGAUAUGCUAAUCACUGGAAAGGCAUUCAUCUUUUAUUGCUUCAACUCAACUGCUGUUAUUCCCUCUCCGGACCUGAAGGUUGACCGCGAUCUGUUAGAGUUUUAUCUGGAAUUUGCUUAGCCAUAGUACUUGACCUGGAGUUCACAGAAGAUUACAACUGUCAAGUUACUGAAGCCUUAUUUAGCCGGGAAAUUUAUCAACGUCAAAUUUAAAGUGACCUGAGGCUCUGAAGGCUCGGUUCAUAAUUUUUCCCUGGCUGAUCUACCGAACCUCAACCCUCACGACUGGAUACUCCUCAACAAUAUUUUGCUGUCCAAUCCUCAAGAGUAUCAGCCGAUUAUUGACCAUGUCAAGCGAAUGCUUGUUUGCUACAUUCAUGAAGUAGCAAAGAUGGAUCAGGAAAUCGCCUCUGCUAUUCACAAGUGAACCACAAUCAAACCAGUGGGAAGAGCUGGUGAUGUAAACACAAUGAUUAAGGUCAAAAUUGACAUAAAAUAUCACACUAUGAUGUUUCUUAGGGGCGAAGGUCAAAAGUUCUUGUUCGCUCUUGUUGACAAGCACUUGUUCUCACCUGCUUGCUUGGAGCAUAUUUUAGAGAUCAUUCAGAGGUGUUAUCAGAACUCAGCAGCUGACAAGAAGUUGUUUACUGAGAUGCUGAGAUGGUAUAUUCAAUUUCGGCAGACUCUUCUUGCUAUCAUUCCUUGGCUGUUCAAAGUUGUGAAGACAGACAAGCCUACUCACCGGAAAUAAUUUCUCGCUCCAUUUGACGCAAUGGAGGAGAUUGUUGGGCUUAUAGUGUUGCGUUAUGGGCUCGGUCCUUAGCCUAGUUUUGCUAUCUCGUUUAGGCUUGUCUAACCAUGAUUAUUUUACUCUAGGGUUUUUGUAUUUAAGGUGCAUGCAUGCGUCCUUAGUCAGUAACACUAUUAUUAUUUUUCUUAUCAGUAUUAUAAACCAUAGCUCGCCUCUAUAGUGGAAGUUCUUCAUUGAGCUCUGUUGAGGCGUGACUAUAUUUGAAUUAUAAGCUUUACAUUGAUUCCAUACUGUGUUCAUAAUUGUAUUGUGUUUGAAUUGUUUGUUCUUCAUCAAUAUACUUGAGAAAGAUCUAAACGAUCUGAGAUUCGUUCUCAUCAUCUGUCAUUUCCCAAAUGAUUUCCGGACCUGUGAGUGUGCUGUCAGGAAUUCGUACUAUAGCUACUGUGUGUCACCCACCUCAGCCCACCACAGAGGGGAUUUGCACUUCUGGCUAUAGAGUUCUUCAAAUGCAGCAGCCUUUAGCUCAUGUGAUAACUGUUAUUGUAGGAGAACUUGAUAAGGGGUAGAUGAAUAUCCCAUGCCUUUCCAAAGUCAAUCACAUGGGCUCGCAACAUAUCUUCCAAAGUUUUAAUAGUCCUCUCACUUUUUCUGUCGGUUUGCUGAUGGUAGGUUGUACUCAUGUCCAACCUAGUUCCUAGGGAACCUUGUCGCGACUGCCAGAACCUUGAGGUGAAUCUACUAUCUCUAUCAGAGAUAAUGGAUAUGGGAACACCAUGCAGUCGUACGAUCUCCCUAGUGUAUGUUCUCGUUAGUUUUUGCAUCUUGUCAGUUUCUUUGAUAGGAAGGAAGUGUGUGGAAUUUGUUAACCUGUCUACGAUUACCUAAAUGGUUUCGAGACCACCUAUUUCCUUGGGCAACUUGGUUAUGAAGUCCAUUGUGAUCCGCUCUAACUUCCAUUUUGGUAUCUCCAGUUGUUGAAGUAAACCUGAUGGUUUUUGGUAUUCAACCUUAACCUUGGUGCAAGUAAGGCACUUACUCACGAAGGUAGGAAUCUCUGCUUUCAUGUUAGGCAACCAGUAUAAGUUUUUAAGAUUCAUAUACAUCUUAUAUGAACCUAGGUAGAUGGAAUAUCGAGUGUUGUGCGCUUCGGUCACGAUCAAGUCUCUGAAACCACUGUGCCUCGGUGUCAAGAUCCGAUCCAUGAGAUAUAAGGCUUCGCCACCCUUGAGUUCCAAGCUUUUAUCCAUCCCUGUCAGGGAUUCACCGGCCACAUUUUCAGGUAUCAAGGCUUGAAGCUGAGCCUCCUUAAUUUGUGUGGACAAGUGUGAAUGGAUAGACAUAGUCAAUAAUUAGAGUUUACGACCAGAGUAUUCUUUCUGACUUAGGUCGUCAGCUACUAUAUUGGCUUUACCAGGAUGAUAACGAAUUUCACAUUCCUAGUCAUUGAGUAGGUUGACCCACCGUCAUUGUCUCAUAUUGAGCUCCUUCUAGUCGAAUAUAUGUUGAAGGUUCUUGUGGUCUGUAAAGAUAGUGCUUUUUGAACCAUACAGGAAGUGUCUCCAGAUCUUCAGAGCAAAUACCACUACUCCAAACUCAAGAUCAUGUAUGGUGUAUUUGACUUCAUGUGUCUUUAGCUGUCUUGAGGCAUAGGCGAUGAACUUACCUCGUUGCAUAAGAACACAACCGAGCCCUUGGUUGGAUGCAUCGCAAUAAACCACAAAAUCUUCUAUUCUUUCUAGGAGGGAUAGUAUCGGUGGGCUGCAUAAGGCUCGCUUCAACGUUUGGAACGGCUUCUCUUGUUUCUCUUCCCAGUCAAAGGCCACUCACUUCUGGGUCAAUGUUGUAAGAGGUUUCGCGAUCCUAGAGAAGUUAUGAAUGAACUUACGAGAGUAGCCAGCGCAGCCUAGAAAUUGAUGAAUUUUUGUAGGUGUCUUCGAUGCUGACCAGUUCUCAAUGGCCUUUAUUUUGGAAGGGUCCACGUGAAUUCCCUCUUCACUAACAACGUGACCCAAUAAUUUGACUCUUCGAAUCCAAAACUCGCAUUUAGAGAACUUUGCGUAGAGCUUCUCUGACCGUAGUGUUUCCAAGACUUGACGUAGAUGUUGACUAUGAUCCUCCUUACUUCAAGAGUAGAUAAGUAUGUCAUUGAUGAACACAAUGACGAACUGAUCCAAGUAAGGACAGAACACCCUAUUCAUUAAGUCCACGAAUACUGCAGGUGCAUUGGUCAAUCCGAAUGGCAUCACUACAAAUUAUUGGUGUCCAUAACGAGUUCGGAAGGCUGUCUUGGGAACAUCCUCCUCUAGCACUCGUAAAUGGUGAUACCUAGAUCUCAGAUCAAUCUUUGAAAAGUAAUUCGCCCCUUUUAGUUGGUCGAACAAGUCGUCUAUGCGAUGUAGAGGGUAACGAUUCUUAACGGUUUGUUUGUUCAGUUCUCUGUAGUCGGUGCACAUACGGAACGAUCCGUCUUUCUUCUUUACGAACAAGACCAGUGCUCCCUUGGGUGAAAAGCUUGGUCUAAUAAAGCCCUUGAUAAGCAGUUCAUUAAGUUGACCAAAUAGCUCCUGCAUCUCAUCUGGUGCUAGACGAUAGGGCAAUUUGGCUACUGGGGUAGCCCCUGGAACUAAGUCAAUUCUGAACUCGACUUGACGUUGUGGUGGUAAUCCUGGUAGUUUUUCUGGAAAGAUGUCGGGAAAGUUGCGUACUUCUGGGAUGUUCUUCAUGUAUUUACUCUCUUGGCUCAUAUCAACCACAUGAGCAAGGAAUCCAUGGCAUUCCUUUUGUAAGUACUUCUGGGCUUAUAUACUCAAAAUGAUACGAAGGUCCGUGUUUGGUUUGUCGCCAUAGAUGACUAGAGUUUCAUUAGACGGUAGAUUAAGGUGAACGACCUUUUCAUAACACAUGAUGUCAACACAAUGAAGACAAAACGAAUCCAUGCUGACAAUGAUGUCGAAAGUUUUAAUUGAGACACACAUCAGGUUGAUUGCAAAUGAAUGGCUAUCUAGAGUUAGGGUACAUCCUAUGUAUAUACUGCUAGUGCUCUCAGUCUUUCUGUUAGCCAUUUCUACAGUAAACAGUUCUUUAAGUACGCGUGCUUGUUGUUUAAGUAAGUGAGCAAAUUUAUGGUUAACGAAACUCCAAUCCGCUCCACUAUCAAACAAUACGCAUGCAUAUGAGUUAUCGAGGAGAAAUGUACCAGUGACUAUUGCAGGUUUGGCUACCGCUUCCUCAUGACCUAUAACCAAAACUCUUCCCACUCUGCCUGCAUUCCAUGCCUUCGGGCAGUUCCUUUUGUAGUGGCCCACCUCGCCACAUCCGUAGCAAGCUUGGACCAUACCAAUGCCAGGGACUUGUGUGAUUGGCCUAGCCGGAGACUUGCAGAAACAAGCCAUGUGCCCCUUCCUUUUGUAGUUAGCGCACUGCAUUUCCCGUCAGGGUCCGUUGUGGUUGAAGCUGCACUUGUUGCAUUUGGGUAAGCUUCCAGCAUACUGCUUCAUUGGUGCACUAGCAGUCGGUGCUAUCGCAGCAUGAAAAGCCACGACCUGCUGCUUUUUGGUAGAGUGCUACACCGUGUUCUUUUCUUGUUAUCCCAGAACUUCCUCUUCUUGUUAGAGUCCUUGGAGGGUUCUGGGAUGGCCUGGGUUGUUGUCGUUGUCAGCGUGCGGACUCCUUGGUCGAUGAGCCGCUGUGCCAAUCGCUUGGCACUAUAAAAGGUAGUGGGGUUUGAAGCUUAGACAUUCUCCUGAAAUGGAGGCACCAGCCCCCAACUAUACCUAUCGACUUUCUUUCCCUCAGUAGGGACCAUUCCCGGGCAUAGUGCCACCACAUCACUAGACCUGGCAAUGUAGGCGACUAUGCCGGAGCCCUUCAUGGUAAGGCUCUAGAGUUCCUAUUCAAGUUUCUGAACCUCGCCCCUUGGGAAGUACUCCUCAAUCAUGAGCUCCUUUAGUGCUUCCCAAUCUAUAACAUUAGCCACUAUCAGGGUUAGUGAGUUGACAUGGCUAUUCCACCAUGUCAAGGCUCGGUCCACGAAAGUGCAGGCAGAAAAUUUAACUUUGCUUCCUUCCAGACAUGAACAAAUCUCAAAGAUCGAUUUCAUUUUCUCGAACCAUUGCGAGAGGGCAAUGAUUCCGCCAGUCCCGUUGAAGGUCUUGGGCUUGUAGUUAAUGAAGUCCUUAUAUGAGCACUCUCUAGAGCGCACUGGAGGAUCACCUUGAGUAGAAUAAACUAUUGUACCACUAGCACUAAAUUGGGCUUAGGCUGUCGAAACAGCUGCAAUCACUGCAACUUGGAUAACUGUUGGAUUAUAUUAUGGAUGAGGUGGUUGCGUUGGAGUAAUUGGAGGAUUAUGCCUCAUUAUUCGGCAGGGAGGCAUCUUUCAACUAAAAGUUUACAAAGAUGAAGAUGAUAGUAAGAAUCAAUUGUGAUUACAACGAGAGUUUUCCAUGGACUAGAUCGCCAUAGCCCAACAAAAUAGGUGAGAAUAUCAUUGAAAUAAAGAUCCAACAGUAGGAACAUGAAAGUACUUGGAUAUAGAUUUCCUAAAAUAUUAGAUGUCUGUCAAUAAUAUUGGCAUUAAAGAUGUAACAAAUUCGAAAAAAUGACCUAGAAGUAGGUCUUACAUCAAACCAUAAAAAGAAAAUUUUGACAGAAUAAAGGUCUAACAAUAGUACUUGAAAGACAGGAAUAUUUAUAGGGAAAAGUGCUACAAUGAGCAUAGAUAAGAAGGCUAUUCCUUAAACCAAAAGAAAGGACGAGUAAAGCAUCAUAUAACGGUGACGGGUGCCCCUCGGGUGAAACCUCAAACCAGCCAGUUGACGCUCCAUGUCAAGAAGGUGUCGCUCAAACACUAUCUGGCGUGCUCCGAGCUUUAUGUCAUCAGCUCGGGUCGCAGCUAGCUCUUGCUGCAAAGCUUCAUUGUCUCUCACAGCUCUCCCAUGUGCAACUUAAAGACGACGAAUAUGGUCCGCGUUGGUGCUUGAAUCUGCUUCAAGUUCCACAGGUCGUUGAAUUGCUGCCACAGUUAGCUCAACAUUGCGAGCCACUCGGCGAACCAAGAUUGGAAGGGCCCUGUCUGCAGGGCCUCCCUCAUUGAGAUUGUAGAAGUUGCGGUCUCUGUUGUAUGGGAGAGGUUGGCUUUGAUCAUGGAUCCACCUAUUCAAACUCCUGACCCACAAUGGCGUUGGACCUUGGAAUUCAAUCCGGUGGUUAGGAUUUGGCAUUGGGGCCACUUGAGGUAGAUUCUCGACUUCAGGCUCAGAGUCAGAAUCCUCCGGGGAGUUUUCUGCGAAGUCAUUGUCUAAAGGAAUUUCAUGAUUUUCUUCUGGCUCUGCAUCCAGCCAUCCACCAUUUACUUGGUUGGGAAAGUACGAGUCGCCAGGGAGAUUGAAUCCAACCAUGUUAUCUACGCGAGAAUAAGGAUAAAAGAGAUAGUUAAUAGACGUAUUACUUCUGAUAAUUAUAGGAUCACCCUUACCAGUUACUUCAACACUUGUGUAGUGCAUACCAGUCAUAUGUAAUCAAAAAAUGAUAGACCUUCGAAUAAGUGACCCUAAUUCCAAGUCCACAACCAAAAAGGAAUUCUAGGUCUAUGACACCCUAGUCACAUAUAAGCUUAGCGUAUCCACUCAGCAACUAUUGACCUACUGAUAAAGACCUUUUAGUUCACAAAUAAGUAAUUAUAGUAACACAAAAUACACCUAUUGUAUUUUAAGUUUUACAUUCUGUUCUAACGUUUUCAUUGUAGUAGUGUUGGUAAGUUUUUUUUUUACUUGCUGCAACACCACAACCAUUCCUAGGCACAUGCUAGUCACUUCUCGGAAAGAUAUAGUUGAUCAGGCUAUAUCACUCCCAGAUCUAAUUAUUUGUCCCCAAGCCUACUUGUGCUGUCCAACAACCGCAAUACUUUUAUUCUGUCCUUGUAUGACACUGAUUUUAGUAUGAAUGUAGGUAUGUAUACUUUGGUUAAAUAUAUUAUUAUUUAAGAGUAUAAACUCUUGGUCAGAGUAUUUUAAUCCCGAUGUGUUUAUAGUUGUAUAUCUUUUAUGGGUUGAUAUACUCAAUUCACUAUAAACAAAGCUCUGAUACCAAUCUAUCACACCCCAAAACCGAAACGGCAUAAACAUUCAGGGGCGGAGGACGUCAUGUACAGUAUCAUAUCAAUCCAUAAUAGUAAACAAACAACAACAUCAUCAAUUGCAUUAAUAGUAUAAUUUAAUACAAGUGUGAUCUGUGUAUAGUUUGAAAGACAACAACAUAUGAAUCAAAAUAAAAGAUGAGUCUCGAAUGUGUUGCGUGUUCUCAAACCUAGUCAUUGGUACCUGUCUACUAGUGACCUGAGAAUACAAGUUAUUUUGAAAGAGUAGAUCAGCAUUUAAGCUGGUGAGUUCAUAAGUAUUUUAGUGUCAUUGUUUUGUAUGAAAGUGUUUGUAAAUGAUAGUUGUAAAUGUUUGAUGUAAAUGUUUGUAUCUCCUAGAAAAUCCUAUAUUUUCUACAUUAUUAUGAAAUGUAGUCUUCUACCAAGACCCGACUGUUUUGAAUGUUUGUUCUUUUGUGGAAGUGAGUGUGUUUCCCAAUUAUGAAUAUCAUUAACCAAAUAUAGUUUACAUUACCGUUUAUGUGAGAAUAUCAUAAUGUGAAUGCAAUGGGAAAAUAAAGAUGUACUGUGGUAUUGUAUAUAAGUAUCUACUAAUGUACUAACUACCUUAAAUCAGUUUGUUUAAUUAAGAUAAAAUGUGAUAUGAUUGUACCCAUACUUGAUUGAAUAGUAAAACACGAUGUUCGAAGACGUCAAAAUGGUACGACAUUCGUCACCCGAGACCUGCAGGUUCCACUGCAGCUAGCAGCAAGGUGUAGGAUGGUCAAUCUCAUACAGAUCUAUACACAAACUCAUUCUCUCCCUCCAGGAGACUCUGGUUACAAAACGUGACACAACAGUAUAUUGACAUGCCAUGAAGUAGUGGAUCACAUUCAUUUUAUAUUAUUCUUGUACUUGUAUAGUAUGUUCUCUCUGCUCUAGUGUAUAGUAUGUUCUAUCUGUUCUAUUGUAUAGUAUGUUCUCUCUGUUCUACUGUAUAAUAUGUUCUUUCUGUUCUAGUGUAUAGUAUGUUCCUCCUUGUUACUCAUUAUAGUAUGUUCUUUCCAUUUCACGUUAUAGUAUGAUUGAACUGACUCUUAUAUGUUUCAUUGUUCUUGAAAUAGUGAGUAGUAAUUAUCUAAACUAUACCUAUUAUAGUUUACUAGUAAUGUUAUUUGAAUGUCUGAGUAUGUUUGUACACCUCUGCUACCCAAAGGUGUUGCACUGAUGAAAGGGCUUUAAUAUCUAUACACAUAUACAUAAUAUAUAACUAAGAUUCAAACGACACUUAGACAAACAACUGUAUUCCUUAAGUCCACAACCAAACAAGGAACAGGAAAUAAAGUGAGUUAUCAAUCCUAAGUCCUUUCAACCUUAUUUAUAUAACUAAAUCUAUAUAGACAUGAUUUUGACAUCAUAUAAGUUUAAAAGAGUUUAUCAUAGAAAAUAGUUUUAACAUAAAAAGGAGUUUUAACAAUUUGAAUGGUUACAGAUGAUUUGAUGUCAGUUUAUAAAAUGUUUUGUAAUAGUUUGUUUGAUAAAACAGUUUGAAGUAUAAGAAAUCCACUUGUUCGAUAGUUAUUCAUCCCAUGUGAUUGAUAUAAUAGCAAUAAUGUUUCAACUUGUAGUCCCCCCCCAUAAAAGCAUUUAAAAUCAUUUAAAAGAUAAGUUAAGGGGUAUGAACUCACCUGUAGUGAGUGAUUCUAAUGUAAGAUCGAUACACGAUGCUAAGUGUGCCAAGUGAAGUCUCGAGCGCAAAUGGAUGCUAAUAAGCAUAUAAUGACACAUGUAUGUAUAUAAUUAGUGUAUAAACAACUAAUCAUGAUAGUGAAACAAUCUUAAGGACUAGGAAACACUUGGAUUGAAGUGUUGAAAUCAUAAUUGAUUGUUCUAAAGGAGUUCACGGCCUAACAGAGGGAUGUUCACGACCUUAGGAGGGUUCACGGUCCAUAUGAUUCUAUGAAGGUUCCACGACCCUUAUGAUGGGUUCACGGAUGUGAUCCCUUCAAGUUCAUGAAGAUGAUGAUUAAACAUGACAACUUAAGGCUAAGAUCUAGUAGCCCUUCAAGUAUGACAAGAUUUAAGAUGAAACGCUUAUGUUUUUGAGGCUUUAGAGUGUUCACGGUUGAACCUGUUUAAGACAGAAUAGAUAUGUUCAAGGUUGGGAGGAGGAGACAUGAAAAGAAAAUGAUGUCACUCUAAUAUAUAUAUAUAUACGAGGUGGUUCACGGCCGGGAACACCUUGUGAGUGGUUUUCUGAUUCGAUUUAAUCCUCCCGAUCACUAGCUAACUCAUCCUAGCAUCCAUUCAUACAUUACACUAGGAUUUGAAACUCUCAAACAAACACUUAACAGUGCUAAAAGAUAGUAGAAAGUAGUAUGACUUUUGAUUCAAAUGAAUGGUUGUACAAGAUAGAAAUUUCGGGUUGUCACAUCAUUUUAUGAAAAGUAUGUUUCAUAUUUCUCUACUUUCAUGGUUAAUUUUCUUAAUAUGAUCAUUGGAUUUCUGAGGAUCCUUACAUGGAUAGGAUCCUGAAAAGUUCAAAUCUCACAAGAACCUUUUACGAUCUGAUUAGCCUGAAACGAUUAGUCAUCAAGCUGGGAUCUUAAAAUAAUCAAGAUCUUUUAGGAUAAUAAACAUUUUUAUUUAUGAAAAUUAACGUUAAAGAAUACAUAGAACCCAGUUAUCCAUAGACUUUGGAGAAAUUUGAAGUUAUGAUUCCCUUAAUUUCAUAUGAUCCAUAUGUUCAGAGAAAAACUUACGACACACUUGAACAGACGUUAGAACAAGUAUGGUUGUGAAAUCAGUUAAUCUCAAUGGAUCUAAAAGCUCAACAAUAACAAGUUAAAGAGUUAGAUAGUUAGAUAGUUAGAUAGUUAGUUACGGAAAUGUAAGGAAGCAUAAAUGACAGAAGGUGAUAUAUCAAGUAAACACAUAAGUUGAUUCAUAACAUGGAAUGCAUUCAAGCCAAGUUAGUGAGUGAGAUCAAGCUUAGUGAUAUAGUCAUGAAUGACUUGCUCCGAAGAGAAGUAAUUAUUAGUUGGGUUUAAGAGGAUUUAGAGAGUAAUAAAGAUAUGAGAUGCGUAAGAGAAAUGUAAUUGAUAUACUUGAAGAUAGUUCAGAUUGAUAGAUGUGAAAGACUGAUUAUAAACUGUGAAAGAAUGAGCUCUAUAUAUAGAGACUCAAGAAUUACAUUUGAUCCACUCUCUAAGAGUAGCCAUACAAGGCAUACUGGACAAUAGAGAGUAUUACAUAAAAGAUAGAUAAAAUUAAACUAAGUAAAGUAAGUAAGACUACGGUUGGAUAGAUGACUUUGGAUAAGGCUGCUGAUGAGAGCUUGACUGCGGAUCCUUGUGGGCUGCGGUAGACUAAGUUAAGAGGGUCACUUCAUGUUUCAACAAUUUCCCCCUAAGUGACCUCUUUAACUUUCUCUUCACCUAUCAAGUUUAAGGAACUUUCUCAGAAUCCGCCAAAACUUCCUGAUAUUUUCCAACCAGGUGACCUUUCUUAAAAUAUCGUACUUGACUUCGGCAGUCGUGUGUUUCGAGUUUUCUACUGCGGUUCGAUAGAUUUGAAGUUCCUUCUUUGAAAUACGAUUCAUGGAGGUCACGAGAAUGAAGUAUUUGACCUGAUCGAUCUUCCUUUUGAAGAUGACUCCAAGUUCAGGGAAGUUUGUUGCACCUAGGGAACAUUCUUGAUAACCUUCGGUAGGCAUCGGUGCAGCAUCUAGUGGUGGAAGAUCGAACUUCUUGGCAUGGGUUAGGUGCAUGUCCGCAUCAAUCAUUGCGAAGUCGCAGAUGGUUUCCUUCAGAAAAAUGCUUGACCUUUCAAGUGAUAUCUUCAUUUUAGGAUACUUUUCACACUUGUUUUGGAACACCUUUGCUAUAAUAAAGACUUCUUUUGGGUUCAUACAGGGGAAGUCAGCUUGGGUGCAGACAUAGUCCUAAUUCCUUCUUGUGAGUGUGUGUUGAACAAAGUCAUCCUUCAUGAAUUUCCGGGGCUUGAAGUUCUUGAUUACGGAUGGUGUAUCGUUAGACCAGAUUUUCUCUGUGGGAGAGGCUUGUAGGCUACUGUCAAACUGCUCAAUUACUGUGAAGUAUUUAGCAUUUGGGGAGACUGGAACAUCCCAGUAUCCAUCAGAGGGGGUUUCAGCAUAGGUGAUAUAUGGUUUGUAGUCAUCGUCCAACAGUCUGCGGUGGGGAUUGAUCCAAGAUUUUAUCAAGGAUUCAUCCAUAACAGUGUCGAAACCGCAUACUCUCCAUAUGAGUUCAACAAUUUUAGCUGCUUUCCAGUCAGCUUUCUUCUGUUUGGUGACGGGAGAAUCAUUUGAGCUUGCAGAUCACAUGUAUAAAGCUAGAUUUUUGAAGUAAGGGGGAGUCUAAGGUCGUUUAGGAGAGGGUAUCAUUUUUCGUUGCGGUGGACGAGACUGAUUGCUUGGACUCUUGUGAGGAGAUAGUUAUGGUGACGGUUGCGGUGAAGGAGAUUUCUGAGAAGCACUGUUGGAUUGAUGUCCUUCUUCAUGAAGUUCUUUUUCUCGAUGGUCUUCAUCACUUCCCCCUCUUGAGGAGUUCAGACCCGAAGCCUCCUCAAGCCAUUGUUUGAGACCAUCGACCUUGGCACACAACUCCUGAAAGUGAGCUUUGAGAACAUCAGCCAGUUGCUGAUUGUGAGGACUCAUGGUGUUGAAGAGUAGCCGAUGAAUCUCCUUUGUCAGUUGGAGAAUUUCAGGACCAUGGAAAUUUGAAGAUAGGGAUCGUUGGAGUAGGUUGAUGGUUUCUUGAAGGACUGAGAUAGUGGACUCAUAAGCAGUGCGAGUCUCAGCUAUUAGUUUCUAGGAAAGAGAGGAUUGGUCCGCAAUGGUUUUUUGUAGAUUGUCUUUGAUUGGGGAUACCUCAGAGAUGAGGCGCUCCACAUCAACCAUGAAUUCUUUGUGAUCUGCUUGGCGAUUGUUGUCGACGGACCAAAUUCCCAUUUCUACUUUGAGAGAAAUUCUCUCAGCAACUAGACGUUCUCUAGUCUCCAAUCUUUCAAUCCUUUUGAUCAAGGACUGCGAUACCGGAUGGUCGUCUGAUUGCGGUUGAGUUAACUUGACUGCGGCAAGAAUUUGAUCUACUUUGGAUUGUAGACUUAAGAAUUCUUUUCUUGAAACGACCAUCUUCUUCUUUUUCUUUUUUUCCUUGGGCUUAGAGGUUGAGUGUUGAGAACCACUCGAUUCCUCUUCUCCGUUAGACAUCAUGAGGUCAGCAUCUGAAGGAUUGGGCUGAUUAACCUCAUUUAGAUCAACAUCAUCAAAACCGAAGGUGGGAGCAGAGCUGACUUCUAUUUUGGUGACUGCAUCUUGAGAGUCUUUGGCAGUUGUAGAUGGAGGGGGCUUUGAUGGAGUUUGAUCAACAGUCGCAUCUUGAGCUUUGCGGAUUGUAUUAGCCAUGUUGUCCAUCAAAGCGUGAACUUUGCAGAUAAUAGAUACGGUAUUGGCUUUAUUGAUUGCGUCUGCGCAAUACUUCGUUACGGACUGGAUUUGUUGUUGUUUUUGUUGCAGUUGCUUUGUUUGUCGUGCCUUUCUUGCUUGGAAUUCCCUACGGAAAGUGGCAUAUUUCUUAGCUUCGGCUUCAUUUGAUGGUUGAUACUUGCUCCAUGAAUCAUUGAGGUCAACUUUGUCAAUUCCUUGGUAUCGCACUGAGGUGUCCCUCGGGUUCACCGAUCCUUUCACAUUGGUGCUCACCAUGCCUAAACCACCUGUUACAUAUGUAAGCAGAGUAGGAUUUCCUGAGCUUCUUCGGUCUCCUUGACCAAGGGUCAAUUCUGGCCUCGGCUUAGUUCUGGAAAAGGCUGAAGAGUCGCCUUGCGGUUGGGAAGGUGUUUGGGUAACAGAAAACAGUACGGAGUUCAACUCCUGUGGGNAAGGUUCACACUCGGCGAGCCCCCCAUGGACUCGGCGAGUUCAUCAGGUACAUUGCACAAAAUCGACUUUUUUCAACUAUUUAGCACAAAUAACAAACNGGUAACAGAAAACAGUACGGAGUUCAACUCCUGUGGGGAAAAGAAGUGUAUGAUGGGUUUUAAGCAUUCUAACACUUCCUAAGUGUACAUGCAACCCUAAUAACCUUGGCUCUAUGUUUGUCUAAUUAUCAUGCAAAGUUGAUUUCAAAGGCUAUGAUCCUAUCUAGCAUAUAUGGGGAACAAUUUUAACUUGAAUAAAAGAUAGAACUACAUACCUUGUUGUUGAUAUUGAUCCUUGAAACCCUGUGAGCCUAGCACCCCAAGUGUGAUGCCUCAAAUGCUUCACACAACACCAAAUGCUAUGGAGUAAACUUGGAGAGAAAGUAUAACACUCUAAAAAUCGGCUCUAGCCCUCAAGCAUGUAUGUGUGUAGCCGAUUUUGGGAGCAACAUGAGCUUUAUAUAGUGUUGACACAUUUAGAGUUACACCAUGUGAACCCUAAUGUGUCAUGACUCUUCAUUUCCAUGACCCAUGGGUUGGUAACUCCCAUGGAGCCUCCAUGGAGCAUCCAAUGGGGUCAACCCAGCUUGAUUAUCCAUGGAGCCUCUUAGCCCACUAUAUAAGUUAUGGAUGAUUUACAUAAUCAACCUAUGUAUUUAAUUAGUUAUCUUUUGAUCACUUAAUUAAUUCUAAAAUUAAUUCUUGAUCAAACUAAUUAAAUAAUAUUAUUAAUAUAUUAGAACUUAGAAUAUAUUAAUAAAUCAUAAGUGUUAUUUCUCUCAUUUAGUCUAUCCAAUUCCAUGGUGCCAUGCAACCCAAAUGGACCAUGUCGGGUCGGGUCAAGUACAUACUGGAAAUAGUUAUGGACUUAGACACCUUAUCCAACAGUGUGGACGGGAAGUCCUGGAGAUCUUAGGGCAGGAGUCAGUUCCAUCCCCUUGGGAAUGACCUGGGGGUGAAUCUCCAGGUUGCGGUGAAGUAGACGCACCAUCUACGUCUGAGUGGUAUUGGAUGGUUAAUUCGAAUGGGUGUGUGGCCACCCCAAGGACUACUAUAGCCUUUUGAGAGGCUGCAGUAUCAGUACGGUCACGCAUUUGGCCUGUGGGAUUGGUUUUUCUUUUCUUGAGGAUUGAUAUCGAUUGAUCGUCCGCAUCAAAAUCACUACUAGAGGGAGAUUGAUGUUUGCUUCGUUCGUCAUUUGUUGGCAGAUUUAGGAUGAUCUUUGUUUUCUUUUAAGGAUUAGCUACUUUGGGAGCAUCCUUUUUCUUAGGAGCGCCUUGUUUCUUGGUGUGGCGAGGACCUUGAUGACCAGAGGCUAACUGUUUACGUCUUUGUGAUAAAGACAGGUUGGAAAGAGUGGUGGAAGAUGGGACUGCGGUACUGCCAGGGGCAGUAAUUGCGGUUGGGGUUUGCAGAGGCGGGGUAGGAAGGUAUGGGCAAAUACCUUCGGUAGCCUCAAUAUGGUCUGAGACAUCAGCAGUUUCAAGACCGAGAGUAGAGAGAAUGUGGGUUGGUAGUCUUCUAAUGGGUACAAAAAUAGAUUGAUCAGAUGAGGGAUUGUACCUUUUGAGAUCUUUGGUGAGAAAGAGAUUGAUGUCGUUGCCCAUGGUAUGUCUUGUAUCCACAUGGAGAUUUGAGAUGCAUAGAGACCACAACCUUGCAAACAUGAGUUUGGUAGGGUUGUCUCUUGGGCUUUCCUUUGGAAUAUAUUCUAAGAAGCCGUCCCAUAGUAUCUGACCGUAGUUAAAGUCAUGGCCAGUGAAGAUACUCCACACCAUCUCUAGGAGCUUGAGUCCCAUAUUAUCCGUGCCUCCGGUUCUGCCAGACAGACUGCGGAUCACAAAGUGGCCAACAAAUUGCCAAACCAUAGGCUGUUGAUUUUUCUUGAAUUCUCCAAUUCCUUUGAUCUUCUUUUGAUAAUCCAUCUGGUAAAGUUCAGAAAGGAUGUCCGCCAUGCUUGGAGUGAAAAACAUGAUUGAAGGAUGAACAAGGAGGUUGAUGGCAGUGAAAAACUUUUCUUUAGUCAGAAUGACCAAAGAAUCAUUAACAAUGUUCAGAUGCACUUCUUGAGGAUUCUUGAGUGGUCGAUAUGCUGGGAAGGCAAAUUUGAAUAGGGUUGAAAGAGGAACCAUAUCUGUGAAAGAAUCGACGGGUCCAAACAGUGGGUGCUUGGACAAAAACUUGAUCAACAACUUUGUUGGAGCAUUGUAGAAGGAAUGCUCUUCGAACACAGCCCUGAAAUUGCUUGAGGAAAUCGUAUGCAUUGGAUGUCUUGAAGCAGAGUCUGAACCAGUAGGGUUUGUUGAUCCAGAUGCCUUGGAGUGUUUCUUGGAGAUGUUGGAUUUCACCAUUGUAGGAGGUUGAAGAAGAUUUGCAAGAGAAAAACAGAGUGCAAGAAAAAGGUUUGAAGUUCAGAAAGCGUAAACUUUUCCUGGGGAAGAAGAAGGGGUUUUAUAGUGGCUUAUUGGAGUGGGAAAAGAUUUUACCCUAAGUGAAUUUAGGUAAAACGUUUGGGUGUUUUUCUUGGAUUAAGAGAGAUAAUCUCAGCCACAGAUUAAGAAAAAGUAUUAAAUCUAUAUUUUUGAGAUUUACCAAAAAGGGUUUGCAUUUAAUGAAGUGUCAGGAUCAAAACCGACGUCUAGAGAACGUGUGGUGAGGGAGAGAUUAAUCCGUUGGGUAAAGGGAAGUUGUAAAGGAUUAGACGAUUUAGGGUAAUAGGAAGAGACAGAUUAAAAAGGAUUUGAUUUUGGGAAAUCUCUCUCUUUGUCAUCAUACCUAAAAUAGGUCUAACACGAGGUUUAUUCAAAAAGAAUGAGAUAGUUACACAAAGAAUGUUUUUUUCAAUGUUUUCUCUAUUUAAUGAAGGAUCAUUAAAUAACACACCAUGAUUUUUUUUUAAAUAAAUGUAACAAAUUGAAAAUUAAUUAAGGCGACUGCAGAUUGAGAAAAUGAUUGCGGAUUGAAAACUUCAUUGCAGAUGGAUCAUUCGCCAUCGGAUGGAUGAUUGCGGUAGAAGAACGUAGAGGAUGUAACACUCGUGUUUCUAGCCUAGGCAUUUAUAUUGAGUUGAUAGUCUAGGUUAACCUUUGUAACUCAUUUUGAAGAAAUGAAAAGGAAUUAUGUGAAUAUUAUGUGAAUUAUGUGUUUUCUGCUUAAUUAUUACGGUUUAAUUAAUUAAGAAUAAAAAUAAGCGUCAAAAUUAAAGUGUGAGAUAAGCGCGAUAUCUUUACAUAAAUUUGUAAAAACAAGUAUUUCGGGGAUAUAAAGAAUACCAAAAUCCGAGUUAUAACGAAGAAGUUAUGACCUGUCGAAGUUUCGCGACAAAACCGACACGGUGCUGAAUGUCGUAAAAAGUGAGUUUUUGAUAAACUACUUUUUAGCCUUAGUAAUCUAAACGAAAGUCGUAGUAUUCGUCAAACCGAGAAGUUUAAUAAAAAGAACGCCCAAAUCUGACUUCCUAAGAGGAAGUUAUGAUUUUUCGAAGUUUCAACUUAGCAGUAGACAGCUAAAAACUCGAAUUUUAGAUCGAGCGAUUUUUAGCCGACACAACCUAAACCAGAAUUGGAGUUCUCGUCAUUAGCAGCACAACGCUAAAAAGUCUGACGAAAACGGACGUCGGAUUAAGAAGUUAUGAAUUUUUAACGGAUUUCCUGUCCCGGUCUGUUAAAAAUAAUAAUUAAAAAAUUAAUUCAAAAUUAGCCGAUGAUGUCUAAACAGAAGUUGUAGAGCCUAAUUUUAGCUACGAGUGCAUAUGAAGAACGUCAAAAACGGAGCUCGUAUGCGAAAGUUAUGUAUUUUAGAAGUUUUGGUGCGAAAAUCGAGAAAAUUCGCAUAGUAACACUUUGUCACGUCACCCUCGCUGAAAGAGUGCCACGUGUCCUUCUGAGUCACCGAGCUGCUGAGUCAUGCGAAGCCACGCGUCGGAUCCUGAUUCGACCGAGGAGGAGGCCCAAUCCGAAGCAGCAAGCUCUUCCAGCCGAAGCUUCGCCCUGCUGCCGUGUGUGGUUGGGAGGAAUAACCACGAGGGUAGAGUGGAGAGAAAUGGGUGCAAGUAUAAGGACUUUAUGACUUGCAAGCCAUCGAGCUUCACUGGAAAGGAAGAUCCCGUUGGAGUAAUGGACUGGAUCUCAUAAAUGUAGUUGGCUUUCAUGACUUGUGAUUGCCAAGGCAAGUUACAAACUACCUUUGCAGUACCUCAGUUCAGGGGUAGUGUUGCUCGUUGGUGGAGCAAUUUGGGGAAAACCCUAAGCCCUAAUAAGCCACUGCAAUUAACUUGGGCAGAGUUCUUAGUGCACUUCAAGCGCAAGUACUGCUCGGCCCAAAAUGUACUUGAGUUAGAAAACUAAUUUCUAAUGUUGCAGAAGGGGAGUAUGACCGUUGACGAAUAUACGAAUAACCUCACAGACAAAAUGGAGUUUGCUUUGCGUAUUGUCCCAGAUGAGUUGGCAAAAAUAGACAGGUAUGCAAAGGGACUUCCAUGGAAGUACGCGGUGCCAGUACGUCAGACACUUACUUUGGAGGCAGCUAUCUGGGUUGCCAAGUCUGUUGAAGAUAUGAUAAAAGGGAGAGGCGCCAGCAAGGUUGAAUUUGGCGAAAAGAGAAAGUUUGAAGGAACUUCAGGUUCCAAUUAAAGAACAAAUUCUCGAAGACUGGUUCGAGAAAGUUUGGAGGAGGAGCCGAAGCCAAGUGGUGUGACAAGUGUAAGACGAAACAUGCUGGGAAGUGAAGCGUGGAAGUCACUUGUGACAAAUGUGGAAAGCCUGGGCAUUAUGCCAAUGAAUGCACCUUCAAUAAGAACAUAUGUUUUGGGGUGUAAUGAAGAAGGGCAUAUUUUGAGGGAUUGCCCGAAGAAGAAGGACGCAGCAAAACCCAAUCUACCACCAAAGCCGAAGACGAGAGCCUUUCAGAUGACACUCGAAGCUGCGAAAGAAGAAGCCGAUGUCGCUUCAGGUACCUUUCUAGUAAACAAACUGCCUACCCAAAUUUUGUUUGAUUCUAGAGCCAAUUACUCCUUUAUAUCACAUGAAUUUGGUAGAAAGCUAGCUUUGCCUGUAGAUAUGCUAGUAAUGCUAUAAUAGUCGAGAUUGCUAGUGGCAAGUUUGUAUCUGUUAGCCAUCGUAUGAAAAACAUCCUCAUUGACUUGGAUUGGAAUAAGUUCCAAGAGGAAUUAUUGCCUAUCGAGUUAAAUGGAUUUGACAUAGUUUUAGGAAUGGAUUGGCUUAGCGCCAACGAUGCAGAAAAAUUAUGUAGAAACAAGAUAGUAAAAGUAAACCCGCCAGGGAAAGAGUCGUUUAUGGUGUAUGGAGACAAACGCAGAGUAAAUUCUGGAAUCAUUUCCCUAAUGAAAGCCAGAAAGUGUUUGGCCAAGGGAUGUACAUCAUAUCUAGCGUUCGUGAUCGAUGCUAAGAUGGAAAAGAAGGAGGUGCAGAAUAUUCNUCCAGAAGUCUUUCCCGAAGAUCUUCCUGAAUUGCCCCCUGAUAGAGAAGUAGAAUUUCGUGUCGACUUGUUACCAGGAACGAUGCCGAUAGCAAAAGCACCAUAUCGAUUAGCACCAACGGAAAUGAAAGAACUUAUGACACAACUCCAGGAGUUAAUCGACAAAGGUUUCAUUCGACCUAGUUCAUCGCCCUGGGGAGCCCCUGUGUUAUUUGUAAAGAAGAAAGACGGGAGCAUGAGAAUGUGCAUCGAUUACAGAGAGUUGAACAAAGUGACGAUAAAGAACAAGUACCCGUUGCCAUGGAUCGACGACCUAUUCGACAAGUUACAGGGUUCGAGCUAUUUCUCGAAGAUCGAUCUUUGUUCGGGAUACCAUCAACUAAAGGUGAGAGAGCAGGAUAUCGAAAAGAGUGCGUUUAGAACGAGAUAUGGACGCUAUGAAUUUUUGGUUAUGUCGUUCGGAAUAACCAAUGCCGCAGCAGUUUUAAUGGAUUUGAUGAAUAGGGUUUGUAAACCAUUCUUAGAUAAAUCUUUGAUAGUAUUCAUAGACGAUAUCUUGAUUUAUACGAAAAGCAAGCAGGAGCAUGAAAAGCAUCUGCGUGAAGUGCUAGAAGUCUUGAAAAAGGAGAAGUUGUAUGCAAAGUUCUCCAAAUGUGAAUUUUGGAUUCAAGAAGUCCAAUUUUUAGGUCAUGUGGUUAACCAAGAAGGAAUAAUGGUUGACCCAGCAAAGAUUGAAGCUGUAAUGAAGUGGGAACAACCAAAAAGUCCUACGGAGAUUCGAAGCUUUUUAGGAUUAGCUGGAUAUUACCGAAGGUUUAUCCAAGGCUUUUCUUCGAUUGCUACUCCAUUAACAGCUUUGACCCACAAAGGAGCUACUUAUGCUUGGAAUGAGAAGCAUAAGGAAGCCUUUGAGAAGUUGAAGAAGAGAUUGUGUGAAGGACCGAUUCUUUCGUUGCCUGAAGGAGUUUUUUGACUUCGCAGUUUAUAGCGAUGCGUUUGGAGUUGGGUUAGGUUGUGUUCUGACCCAAACAGAUAAAGUGAUAGCGUAUGCAUUGAGGCAGUUGAAGGAACAUGAAAAGAACUACCCCACUCAUGAUCUGGAGUUGGCAGAGGUAGUAUUUGCCUUAAAGAUAUGGAGGCAUUAUCUUUAUAGCACAAAGUGAAAACUUUUCACUGAUCAUAAGAGUCUCCAAUAUCUCUUUAAUCAGAAAGAGUUGAACAUGAGGCAACGACGCUGGCUAGAGUUACUCAAGGACUACGACUGUGAGAUACUUUACCACCCUGGUAAAGCAAAUGUUGUUGCUGAUGCUCUCAGUCGGAAGGUAAACCUUGAAAAGAAAAGUCCAAGAGCGUUGAUAAUUGAAGUUGUCUCAAAAAUUGUCGAAAGUAUAAAGAAAGCUCAAGAGGAAGCUUUAGAGAAAAGUGACCGAAAGGAAGAACGUUUGGGCAAAACGUUAGUGUUCGGUACAAACAACCAAGGGUUGAAGGUAUUCCAAGAUAGGAUUUGGGUACCUUGGACCGGCAGUACAAAAAUGUAUAGGGAUCUAAAACCCUAUUAUUGGUGGCCGACGAUGAAGCUCGAUGUUGCUAAGUAUUUGGCCGAGUGUGUAACUUGUGAUAGGGUUAAGGCACAACAUCAGAAACCGUAUGGGAGUUUAGAACCUUUACCCGUACCCAUGGGUAAAUGGGAAGACACCACCAUGGAUUUUGUGACUAAACUGCCCAAAACAAGGAAUGGUCACAACAUGAUUUGGGUGGUCGUUGAUCGUUUCACUAAGAGUGCGCAUUUCAUAGUAGCCAAAGAGAAAUGGUCUAUGGAUAAACUUGCGAAUUCUUACGUGAAGGAAAUUGUGAGGCUUCACGGUGUUCCGCUAACGAUUGUAUCCAAUCGUGACAGCCGUUUUACCUCGAGAUUUUGGAGGAGUCUACAAGAGGAAUUGGGUACUAAGUUGUGUUUGAGUACAGCUUACCAUCCGCAAACCGAUGGUCAGAGCGAACGAACGAUUCAAACAUUGGAGGAUAUGCUGAGAGCAUGUACCCUAGAAUUCCAAGGUAACUGGGAUGAACACUCACCUCUAGUAGAAUUCUCCUAUAAUAAUAGUUUCCACUCAAGCAUCAAGAUGGCACCUUAUCACUCUUUGUAUGGGGAGAAGUUGUGAACAACAUCAUGUUGGCUGGAAGCUUGGGAAUGCAGUUUAUGGGACCUGAAAUAGUCCAUCAGACUGCUGAAAAGUUGAAAGUGAUAAGGGAAAGGAUGUUAGCUGCUCAAGAUCAACAAAAGAGUUAUGCUGACAAGAAAAGACAACCGAUAUCCUUUGAUGUUGGAGAUUCGGUUUUACUUAAAGUCUCGCCGUGGAAGGGACUUAUAAGAUUUGGUAAGAGAGGGAAGUUGAGUCCAAGAUUUAUUGGACCAUUUAAAGUUCUUUAGAGGAUCGGGAAUCAAGCUUAGAAGCUAGAGUUACCGGAAGAACUGGAAGAUAUUCAUAACACCUUUCAUGUGUGUUAUUUGAGAAAGUUCACAUGAGAUGUGCCCGACAUAAUUCUGAUUUUUGAGUUAAGGUUGGAUGAAAACAAGUGGUUGAUCGAAGAACCUGAGGCAAUCGUUGACCGUAAGACUAUGAAGUUGCGACGCAAGAUGGCCGAUUUAGUGCUUGUGCAUUGGAAAUAGAAGGGGACCUGCAAGCCUUCUCGGGCAGAAAUGAAUAAUUGCCAUUUUCACCCCUUUCUUCAUCCUUUCUUCAUGUUAACCUUCCCCAAAGCCCCGGUAUCGAUUUUAAACCCCGGAAUACUCCACGAAGUGCCCGUGAAGCCCGGAAAAUUUAUCUUUUCGGUUUCGAAGCCCGACUUUUGUAGAGCCCGGUUUCUCAAUAAAACUCCCGGUUUUAUUUGAAACUAUCGUUUUAGGAAACGAAUUGUUGGCCGAUUUUCAUCAAAACAUGUGAGUGUGUAGUUACUUUCAAUUUACACAUAGAUAUGAAUUAUUUACCUUGAAAUACGUGUUAUGUGUAAAUAUGUUAAUUGUUUAUUUAAGGUGACUGUUGAAUUGAUGUUUUAUAAAAGUUUUAAACUGUAUAUGUUUUUUAUCUACAAAAUAUGUUGGGUAGAACAUGGGUAGAUGAAAUAGUUGAUGUGUGUUAAAAAGGUGAGAGGCCUCGAUGUUGUUGUUGUUGUUGUUGUUGUCAUCUAGCGGAGUAUAGAUGACGACCGUGGACAUUUCUAGACAGUUCAGUGGAACACUAGCAGGUUCGCAACUUGUAGGUGUUGAUGAAUUAAAUGUUCAUUGGUGUACUUCAUCCCCCUCAUGGUUGCCUUUAGGACAUGUAUGGCUGAGGAAACCUCUUAGCAGUAGUGUCCAUCCCGAUGAUAUUCCUUAGACUAGGUCCCUUGUGACAGGUGUUUAGGGACGUAAAGUGACGACAAUGGGAAUUGGUAAUCAGGGUUAUUGUUGAUUGGUGAACUUAAUAAGUAUAUUAAUGUGGGAUGAAAACCCUAUAUGCUCACCAGGCUCCCAAGCUUCACCCACUCAGUUUUAUGAUUACAUGUAGUGGACCCCGAGCAUAGUUGGAGGACGAUGAGAGAUUUUUGGAUUAUAGGCCAGUAGUUGUAAAUAACUGUUGAAAGGCUUAUAAUCUCUUGUUUAUGCUUUUGAUCUGUAUCGGAACAUGACAUCCCGAGGUUUUGAUAUGAAAUUAAAGAAGGUUUUGAUAACCUUUUAUCAUGUUUUGUUUUGGGAACAAAUUCUGGAACAUCUUUUAAAAAGAUUUCUCUGAUUUUAUUUUAAAAAGCAUAAAUUAAAUUGGUCUUUUCUGGCCGAGAAAUUAGGGGAUGUCACAGAGGAGCACUUGAACAAAGAUUAGAAUUAACAAAAAUAAGGACCAUUGAAAUAUAAGUAUGAUAUAUGGUUGCGGUACAUAGGAUAUAGCAAAACCAUCUACGAUAGAUAACUUCACCUAGGACCACAACAGAGACCAAGGAUGGUCUCCUGUACCUAUUAAUCCAAAAAUAAUUGUGGGUCCGGAUUCAUCAUUCCUAAGAUUUGUAAGAAACUAUUGAUUUUGGAAGAGUCAAGUGCCUUUGUGAAUACAUCAACAAUCUCUUCACGAGUAUGGACAAAAAUUAGUUCAAUGUUACCUUUCAGGAUGUGGUCUUUGAUGAGUGAUACCAUAGUUCAAUGUGCUUGGUCUUGGAGUGUUGAAUAGGAUUGUGAGAAAUCGCUAUUGCACUUUCAGAGUCACAAUAGAUUGGUAUCCAAAGCGUUCUGUAUACGUAGUCCGAUAGUUGUGUUUUCAUCCAUAAGACUUGAGAUCAACAACUGGUUGCGGCCACAUAUUCAGCUUCUGCGGUAGACAAUGAUACACAAUUUUGUUUCCUUGAUGACCAGCAGAUGAGUCUUCCACCCAGAAAUUGACAUCCACCUAAGGUGCUUUUACGAUCAAGUUUACAUCCGACAUGAUCCGCAUCUUUGAAUGCUUGAAGGCUGAAGUCGUUUCCUGCGGGGUACCAUAAUCCAAGAGUUUUGCUACCCUUCAAGUACCGUAGGAUUUGCUUGCUUGCGGUCAUGUGUGACAUUUUUGGGUCAGCCUGGUACCUUGUGCAUACACCCGUUGCAAGGACUAUAUCUGGUCAGCUUGCGGUGAGGUACAUCAAAGAGCCAACAAUACCUCUAUAAGUCUUGUGAUCAACAGAUUCGGCUAAGGGAUCAGCAAAUAUCAUAUAUUCGAAGGUUGUCGGCACUUUAGCCGAAGAACAGUUGUCCAUUAAAUAUUUCUUUGAGGGACUUGUUUCACUUGAAGUCCCAGAAAGAAGUUAAUCUCUCUAUUCAUGCUCAUUUGGAACUUCGUGGUCAUGAGCUUAGCAUAUUCAUUCACCGUAUUUUGAUCAGUUGAGCCGAAAAUGAUAUCAUCCACAUAUAUUUGUACAAGCAUUAGAUGAUCAUCAUUUGAUUUUCUAAAUAAGGUGGGAUCAGUCACUCCUCCUUUGUAUCCGGACGAGACAAGAAAUUCAAAGAUAGUCUCGUACCAUGCUCUUGGGCUUGUUUUAGACCGUAGACUGCUUUUUCAAGCUUGUAGCAGUGGUUUGAGAAUUCAAGACUUUUGAAGCCCGAAGGUUGGUGAAGAUAAACCUCCUCUUUUAAUUUGUUGUUGGGAAAAACACUUUUCACAUCCAUUUGAUGAACUUUGAUAUUUUGUGCACUGUAUAUGCUAAGAAGAUCUGUAUGGCUUCCAUUCGUGCUACCGGAGCAUACAUUUCAUCAUAGUCAAUGCCUUAAGUUGGCUAUAUCCAUUGGCAACAAGUCUUUCCUUAUUUCUAACGACCGCAUCAAAUUCAUCCAACUUAUUUUUGUACACCCAUCUAGUGCCAACAAUGGUGUGGCCUUGCGGUUUUGGAACAAGCUGCCAUACGUUGUUACUUUUGAAUUCUUAUAGCUCUUCUUGCAUUGUGAAUAUCCAAUCUGGUUCAAGUAAUGCUUUUAUGAUCGUCCGGGGUUCGACCAAGGACAGAAACGUUGCAUAGUGACAGUGAUCGGAUAAGUCCUUGGAAGAUCGAGUCUGGAUUCUUAUGGAUGGGUUGCCGAUGAUUUUACCUGGUGGGUGGUCUCUCGUCUAUACAUGUAAACGGGGUUGCAAAUGAUCAAUAGUUGUGGUGGAGGGGAUGUCUUCAAUAUUAGAAGACUCUGCGGUUAGAGACGACAGCUCCUCCUGGACUUGAGAACAUCCUGCUGAAUUGUCUUGAACUGGGAAGGAGGGAUCAAAGUUUUCUUGGGCAGAUGGUGAGGGUUCCUCCUAGAGUGUAGAAGGUAGUUCGCCUUGAACCUGCGAAGGUUCCCCCUGGAUUGCAGAUAGGAGUGAUAUAAUCCUUGAAUCGGUUCUUGUGUAAAUGUUUUCUAUGUUUUCAUCAUCCAAAUCUGAAGAAACGUUUGAUGGUUGAAACUCUCUGCGGAUUGGAGCUACAUCUUCUAGUACUGGAACCUCGAUGGUUGUUGUAUGGUCCGGAGUUGAGUUUUCCCCCUCAACCGGCGAGAUGGAAGUAUUUAGUGAUACUUCUUCGGACAAUGUUGGACUAGAUACAUCAUCAUGCUGCUGGUGAGCUUCUAGAGACACAAGAACUUCGGAUAACUUGGUUGUAUCAAACAGAUCGAAGAGAUUGUCAUAGUUUACUUCAACUAGGUUUAAUGGACCCGAAGAGGCAGGAAUAUCACUUUCUAGAAUUGUUGUGGUUUCGGUUGAUAGAGUUGUUUUGUGGAUGUGAUAGUCAUCAAGUUUGACAUCGAAGCUUUCAAUUAUCAACCUUGUGCGUCCAAUAAGAACUCGAUAAGCAACAUUAUUAGUGGAGUAGCCAUGGAAGAUGCCUUCAUCAGACUUUGGUGCAAAUUUGUAGAGGUGGUCUCUGUUGUUCAUUACGAAGCAUCUACAUCCAAAUAUAUGAAAGAAUCAUACAUUUGGCUUGCUGUUGAGGUGGUCUCUGUUGUUCGAUUUUCUACACAACAUGUUGUGGCCAGUGCUUCGGCCCAGAAGUAGAUAGGAAGGUGUGCAAAGUUGGGAAUAGAUCUGGCAGCUUCUACUGGAGUGCGGUUCCUUUGUUCUACUACCCUAUUUUGUUGUGGUGUGUAAGGAGCUGAGAAGUUGUGAGUAAUCCCUUUUGAAACCAAGAAACUAUUCAGAAGAUUGUUAGUAAACUCGAUUCCAUUAUUACUUUGGAUACGUCUAACUGGUAACUUGAUAUGACGUUCAAUUUCCUUGAUGUAGUUGAUCAACACCUGCGGUGUUUCUGACUUGACUCGAAGAAAGAAGACCCAUGUGAAACGCGUAAAGUCAUCCGCUAUAACCAGUAUGUAUUUUUUGUGAUGAAGACAGGCUACGGUAGAUGGACCGCAAAGAUCAAUGUGUAAGAGUUCCAGUGGUUCAGAAAGUGAGGAGUCAAUCACCGUGGAGUGACUUGCCUUGAAUUGUUUUCCACACUCUCAUGCAGUACAGAGAGUAUCAUUGAUGAACUUGAGGAUUGGAAGACUUGUGACAAGUUCUCCGGGUACCAAAUUGUUUAUGUAUCUGAAGUUGAGAUGAGCGAGCUUGCGAUGAUAUAGCUAGCUGACUUUGGAUAUUGCUUGGGAUAGGAAGCAUAACUGUGUUUUGCCUAUGAUCAGAGAUACAUCCAGAGGAUAGAUAGAACCUUCGGAUCUGGACUUGAUCAGACAAGUGCUCCUAUCGCUUGUCAUUACAUAACAAAAUUGGUAAUCAAAUUCAACACGAUUGCCUACUUUACAUUGUUGACCAACACUGAUGAGAUUGUGUUUAAGGCCUUCUACAUAAGCAAUCUUUUGAAUAGAGAAGUUUCCCGUAGUGAGAACACCAUAACCUCAGAUUAUCCCACUCGCAUUGUUCCUGAAUGUGACAUCUCCACUGUUGCAAAUUGGCCUGAAAUCUCGAAGGUAUUCUAACCUUCCCGUCAUGUGCAAGGAGCAGGUACUGUCGAUUAACCAUUCUUCUUCUUGUUCCUGUUUGCACAAGGCCUGAAAAUUACACGGUUAGUUUAGGCAUCCAAACUAAUUUGGAUCCUGGGACAACAAAUGAGUUUUUUGAUUGAUGCAUGAAACGAGGUAGCAAGGACUGGUUUCAUGUCAACUUUUAAUCCUAGUCCUAGGUGUUUUUGAGUUUUUGGAGUGUUGUGCCAUUUUGAAAAGUUACGAGGUUUCUGAAAAUGAUCAGUUUUGACAUGAGAUAACCAUUUUUGAAAACUACAUUGACAUUGACAAGCUGAAAUUUUGUCUUUGGUUUUGGCACUUUGUUUGGUCAGCGGUCGGAAGGAUGUAGUAGAUUUGUGAGUAGUCUGAGGUUUGUAGGAUCUGACAUGUGUGCUGUUGGAAUUUGAAAAAGUUUAUUUUGAAGAAGAUUUAGCAUGUGAAGAUACCUUGGACCUUUUUCUAGGAUUUGGUAAAACGCCCUUCCACUUGUUGAAAUUUUGAUGUGAUUUUAAAAGUGUUGGAGUGGGUAAGAUACCCUUCCAUUUUGGAUCAUCUAAGGAAUAGAUUUGAAAAGCAUUGCUUCGAAAAGACCUUUGUUUCUUUUGGGUUUUGUCAGAUGAGUUAGGAAUGGAUGUUGAAACUGCACAUUCCUUUUUGCAUGCUUUCUUGAUGGGAGAGUUUUUCGAAAAAUAGUGAGCUAAAAUAAACUUUUCUGGACUCUUAGAUUUUGGAAAUCUGAUAUGUCUUUUAUUUUUAGAAAAGGUUUGUCUAUUUGUGCCUCAAGAUCGAAUAUCUGAAAGCCUUUUUUGCGAAAGUUUUUGGAGAACCACAAUCAUUAGUGUUCAAUUGUGGUUUCUUGGAAACCUUUGAAAAAUUUUGAAAACGAGGGCUUGACUCAUCAGAACUUGAAGAUUCAGGGUUUUGAGAGUAUUGACCUACUUCAAAGUUUUCUAUGGGUAGUUCAUGAUGAAUUGGCUGAAGAGUCACGGAGCUUCUUAUUGUGGACUUUGGUAAGGAAGACAUAGCUACCGUAGCGUAAGUCUGAGUUGUGACUGGAGUGGGAUUUUUCUAAGGAUCAUGACUGUAGUGACGGGCACUUCGGUCUAAGGAGAAAGGUGGAAAGUCAUGUAAGACUUCCGGACUUUCUAUGACAAUUUCUUCAUCAAAAACAGAUGAGGUCUGAGAAUUUGAGUUGAUUGUGCCACAAAUAGGAGUUUGAUCACCUGAGUGAUCCAAAACCUUAGGCACAAUUUCCUCAAUGACAAAAUUAUUACUUAGAUUAUGAAGUCUACUGUAGUGGGUUCUGAUAUCUUCGGGAAAAGUCUUGUCAUUGACAGGAAAAUGAAAUUCUCGAUCCGGAGGGACAUAAAGUUGAUCUUUGUUAAACUGGGGUGAUGAAUCCUCUGCGGUAGGAUAUCCAUUGGACCAACCCCAAUUGUAUGUAUUGUCCAUAGUUCCAUUAUUAACCAAAUUUUCAAUAGCUUGACUUUCAUUGAACAAUUUUUCUAUUAAUAAAUUUAAGCGUACCAUCUCACUUUGAGCUAAAUCUCUUUGGAUCAAAGCUAUCUUUAGUUAUGUUUCACUCAACAUUGUUGCAUCUUUUUCUAACUCUAAAUCUCUUUCUAACAUGGCCAUUUUGAGUCUUUUGUUGUCCAAUCGUCCUCUCACAUGAAACAUCUCUUUGGAUGCUAUGUUCUUCUCAUCUAAGGCUUUGUUGUAGUCUGUAAGGACGACAUCACAUGUGUUAUUAGGAUUGUCUAUGAAAGGUUGACAGUCAUGCAUGUUAUAGUUUAGAGUUUGGAUCAUAAGUUUUACCUGUUCGAUGAUGCUUAGAGUUCCAUCAUUUGCCAUGUGGCAGUAAUUCCUUUCCAAUUUUGUAGACCCAUCAUCAUCAAUAGUUGCUAGCAUGCAGAUCUUGCCUUUUCCUUUGAUAUUGCUGAUGGUUUCAUCUUCAUCUUCGGAUGACCAAACUUGAUGGUCUCUUUUGACAUGGGCCACAUAUGCCCUAGCCUUUUCCUUUUCCUCCAAUUGUUGACCCAUUAUAAGGUAGAAUGCUCUAUCUUUCACAAAAUUAUCUUUGCAAUCCUUUGCAAAAUGAUUCUCUUUGUUGUACUUGUGACAUAUUACAACAUCACUUUUGUCUUAUGAAGGAGUACCAGAGUCAGAGGUUUCAAUGGAAUGCGGUGCCUCCUUUGGGUGAGUGUUUUGAGAUUGUGGUGGCGGGUGAGAACUUUUAGGAUAAUGAGAGUGAUUGUUUUGUGGGUUGAAGUUACGAUUGAAAGGAGGUUUGCUCAAUUGUUGAUUCUUGCGAAAAGAGGGAGGUGGUAGCCAGUUGAACUGUUUACUAACAAGAGCAAUAUCCUUCUGAAAUUCCUCUUCAUCAUCAUACGCUUAGUCAGCUUCGUACGUCUGCGGUGUAGUGUCAUACGAGGCAAAGUAAGAUUGAUUAUGAGGAGCUGGUGCUACAAGAGCAAGUGGUCCUCCGAAGUCAGCACAAUCUUUGAGUACAGUGGAUUCUUGUGCUUGUAAUUCCCCAUAGAGCUUGUAGAGAGACAGGGAAUGAAUCUUUCUAUCUCCUUGAACUAUCAUCUUAGUAGUAGUCCAAUGUCUUCCCAAACCAUUGAGAAAUUUAAGGUUUGUUUCAUGGUUACUGCGGAUGGUGCCAACAUUUGAUAACUUAGUGACUAUUAGAUUGACCCUUUUGAUAGAGUCUUCUAAACUUUUUCCAGUAUGAGCUUUGAAGUUGUUGAAUUCAUUGAGUGCAGUUGUAAGCUUCUUAUCUUGAGCUUGUUCUUAGCCUUCAUACAAGUUCUUGAGAGCAUCCCAUAUCUCUUUUGCUGAUUUACAAUUUAUUAUAAUGUCGAAGUUGUCAGGAGCAACUCCAUAAGAGAUUUCAUAAAAAGCAAUAUCAUCAUUUUCCAUUUUAUCAAGAUAAUCUUUGGUGGGACGGUUCAUGACUGGUUGUCCUCCUCCUAGUCUGGUUGUGGCGCUAUAAGUUUGUACAGGUGUAAGAACAGGGACAGAUGGUCCUUCUUCAACAGAUAGCCAUACAUCUCCACCAAGUCUCCUUAAGUAUCUUUCCAUUCUUUAAGACUAGUGAUGGUACUCAUCUGCCACCAAUAUUGGAGCUCGAUUUGAACCACCAACACCGUUGGAAAUAUUCAGAGAAAGUGGUUGUUCCAUUCUUCCUUUUUUUGUGUGUUUUUUUUUUGUUUUAAGAAAUGAGCUUUAGUGGUAUAUAAGGCCCUUUGAAAAUCAGAGUUUUGUUUUUCAAAAAGCAACCACUACUGCUCUGAUACCAAUUGUUGAGAGGAAAACCUGAGACACACUUGAACAAACAUUACAACAAGUAUAGUUGUGGAAUUAAUUAAUCUCAAAGGAUCUAAACGCUCAACAAUAAUAAGUAAAGGAGUUAGAUAGUUAGAUAGUUAGUUGCGGAAAUGUAAGGAAGCGUAAAUGACAGCAGGUGAUAUAUCAAGUAAACACAUAAGUUGAUUCAUAACAUGGAAUGCAUUCAAUUAAACCAAGUUAGUGAGUGAGAUCAAUCCUAGUGAUAAAGUCACGAAUGACUUGCUCCAAAGAGAAGUAAUUUUCAGUUGGGUUCGAGAGGAUUUAGAGAGUAAGAAAGAUAUGAGAUGCGUAAGAGAAAUCUAAUUGAUAUACUUGAAGAUAAUUCAGAUUGAUAGAUGUGAAUGACUGAUUAUAAACUGUGAAAGAAUGAGCUUCAUAUAUAGAGACUCAAGAGUUACAUUUGAUCCACUCUCUAAGAGUAUUCAUGCAAGGCAUACUGGACAAUAGAGAGUAUUACUGAAAAGAUAGAUAAAAUUAAACUAACUAAAGUAAGUAAGACUGUGGUUGGAUAGAUGACUUCGGAUGAGGCUGUUGAUGAGAGCUUGACUACGGAUCCUUGUGGGCUGCGGUAGACUAAGUUAAGAGGUUCACUUCAUGUUUCAACACCAUAUGCUUUCGUAUGGAAGGAUCUUCACUUUAGAAGAUCAUCAUGAAGGAUCCAUGAUUGGGUUAACUUAGUAAGCUUUGGGGGUGAUUACAUCUUAGGAAUCAUAUGUACAUCACUCCAUCAUGGUAAAUAACUGAGGAAACUUUUGUUCGUAAUAUGGUAAUGUUACUAGUCUUGCAUAUUUUUGGGGGACUGUCCCAAUAUAUUAAUUUUGUACUUCUUAGUAACUUACUAGGGAAAAUCCCAAUUUAAGGUAAUAUGUUAGUGUAAAUUUCUAGGGAAAAUCCUAAACGGUAUGACAACAUGAAAAAUAUUAUAAACCUUAGGUAUUUUCUGGGGAAGUUGUUGAGAGACAAAAUUUGAACAAAAGUUGAUCAAAAUAUUAGUACAAGAUAAUAAGUGACAGCAAGUUAUAUCAAGCAUACACCAAGUUAAUUCAUAACAGUCAUUGCAUGCAUACACAAUUUAAUAAAUGUGAUCAACUUAAGGUGCGGAGGAACUUCGGGAAAUCAGUUAAGAUAGAAUAGAGAUGAAUGGUCUUUAUAUUUCGAUAAUAGUUCUGGAAGUUGGUAAUGUUACAUGAAGAGCGAAAAUUUAUUUAUAGUGUCCCUAAAAGGUACAUUGGAAAUAAUCAAAUACUAUUCUACUAAAUUUAGUGACCACGCAAGGUUUAUUGACAAAACAAAGUAAACACGCUAAGUCAAUACAAUAACUUGAAUGUCUUCAUUCAUCAUUCAUCUCUAUGGUAGACGUUGCAGUUGCGGUUCACGAAAAGAUCUUCUCCAACUUCGGCUGUUAACUACUUCUUCGGUAGCAACACCAAUCCAGACUACGUUUCCUUAGCUAAAGAGGGUCACUUUUUGUAUCAACAGAAGAUCCCAAAUUGUAUAAUAAUAUGAACAUGUUAUAAACCUUAAGUAUUUUAUUGGAAAGAUCUCAACUUGAGAUAACAUGUCAGUGUUAUUAAAGUUUUAUUAAACUUUAGGAUCUUAACUUGUGUUCCAAAAUAAUAGGGUUUUCAAGUCACUACAACAUGAAAUGAUCCCCUUAGUCACAUCCCACAAUAAGUUUAUGUGUGUCCAAGCAUGGUUUAGAAACCUUAACUCAUAUAAAAGAGAUACUUAACUCGUUAAACCUCAAUAGGGAUUAAGUACCCUUAGUCUCAGGAGAGACGAUUAGUCUCUUUUCGUACUUAUCUAGAUAAGUACCUAUUGCAAUCAUCAAGACUAUGUAUCUAUUAGGAUCCUUGAAUGCUAGGAUUCUCGAAUGUCAGGAUCAUCAAAAUAUCAGGAUCCCUACCUGUUAGGAUCCUUGAAUGUAUUAUUCUUUUCAUAAGAAUCGCAAUGAAGGAAGUUCUUCAAGUGCUUUAUUUUUGAAACGAAAAGAAUCAGUUCAUUCACCCUGGAGACCUGAAGUGGUUUGCGGUACUUAUCAUUUUAAAAAGUAUGGCGGGUUUGGGUUCAUCAUUCCUUGCAUUUCCAAAAGUACAUUUAACUUUGUAUCAUCUAGUGCCUUAGUAAAACGUUAGCUAUUUAUUUGUGUGUGGGCCUAAAAAUGAGUUCAAUGUUACCUUUGGGGAUAUGCUCUUUAAUGAAGUCAUACCGUAGUUCAAUGUGCUUCAUCUUCGAGUGAUGAAUAGGAUUAUGAGAAAUCUCUAUUGCACUCUCUGAAUCACAGUAGAUGAGCACCCGCAACAUCAUGUAACCAUAUUCCAUAAGUUGAGUCUUCAUCCAAAGGACUUGGGAACAACAAUUGGUUGCGGCGUCAUUUUCCGCCUCUGUGGUAGACAAAGAAACACAAUUUCGUUUCCUUGAAGACCAUCUAACUAAUCUUCCUCUUAAUAACUGGCAUCCACCAGAAGUGCUUUUAUGAUCUAAUCUACACCCAACAUGAUCUGCAUCUAUGAAUGCUUGAAGACUAAAGUCAUUUCCCGCAGCAUACCAAAUACCCAUGGCUUUGCUCCCUUUUAGAUAUCCGAAUAUUUGCUUGACUGUGGUCAAGUGUGACAUUUUGGGAUCAGCCUGGCACCGAGCACAUAAACCCGUUGCAAAUACAAUAUCUGGUCUGCUGGGAGUGAGGUACAUCAACGAUCUAAUUGUUCCUCGGUAUGUUUUUUAAUCAAAUGACUCACCGGUAGGGUUAGCUCAGAUUUUAUAUCCAAAGGCCAUCAGGAUCAUGGCUGAGGAGCAAUUGUCCAUCGAAAAUUUCUUCAACAACUCAAUGGCAUAUUUUUCUUGAUGAAUGAAUAUCGCGUUAGGGACCUGUUUAACUUGAAGUCCUAGAAAGAAGUUGAUCUCUCUAUUCAUGCUUAUUUGGAACUUGCUUGUCAUGAGCCUUGCAAAAUCAUCCACCAUACCCUGAUUUGUUGAUCCGAAAAUGAAAUAAUCUACAUAUAUUUGAACAAGCAUCACGUGAUUAUCAUUUUCUCGUCUAAAUAACAUGGGAUCAAUCACACCUCUUUUGUAUCCUAAGGUGACAAGAAACUAAGAGAGAGUCUCAUACCACACUCUGGGUGCCUGUUUAAGACCGUGUACUAUUUUCUCCAGUUUGUAGCAGUGAUUUGACAAUUCUAGGCUUUCAAAGCCUGGAGGCUGUUGCAAGUAUACUUCUUCCUUCAUUUCUCCAUUCAGAAAAGUACUUUUUACAUCCAUUUGUUUCACCUUGAUGUUCUUGUGAUCAACAUACGCUAGGAAGAUAUGUAUGGCUUCAUUCUUGCUACGGGGGCAUAUGUUUCAUCGUAGCCAACAUUCUCAAGUUGACUAUAACCCAUAGUGACUAAUUCAACUUUGUUUCUUACCACCGCACCAGAUUCAUCUAGCAUGUUCUUAUACACAAUCUUGUACCAACGAUUGUGUGACCUUUUAGUUUCGUUACUAAUUUUCGUACUUCAUUUAAACUCAACCAGCUCUUGAAUUGAAAUGAUCCAGUCGAGUUCCAAAAGCGCUUCUUCUGUAGUUCUAGGCUCGACUGAAGACAUGAAUGCCACAUAAUGACAAUGGUUAUUUAAAUCUGAAGAGGAUCAAGUUUGAAUACCUAAGGAUAGGUUAUUGAUGAUUUGACCUGGUGGGUGAUAUCUUAUCCAAACAUGUAGUAGGGAUUGGUAAUGGUCUAUGGCUACGGUUAAAGGAAUGUCCUCUAAGUCUGAGCACUCUACGGUAGAAGAAGGUAGUUCCCCUUCGCUUUGGAACAACUAGUUGAUGAGUAUUUGAUUGUAGAAAUGGGGCCUACAGUAGGUAAAGGAAGUUCCCCCUAGAUUGAUGAAAGAAUUUCCCUCUGAAUCAUGGAUGGUUCCCCCUGAAUUGAUGAGUGAUGGACAAUCCUUGGGUGCUAUCUUGUGUCAAUGUUUUUAGCGGCUUCAUCAUCAUAGUCUUCAGAUACGUUUGAGUGGAUGGUUACUCUGCGGGUAGAUUCUGCAGCAGUUUCUUCAAUUACUAGAACCUCUGUGGUUGUCGCUUCCAAACAAACUGGUCUUUCCCCUCAACCAAAGAGGUGGAAGAAUUGGGUGAUGUUUAUGCAUAUAUGAUUGGUCCAUAUACUUUUGCUUGUUGCUGUUGAGCUACCGGAGAUACAAAAAUAUCUCAAAGAUGAGAUGUUUCUUUAAGAUCGAAGAGGGUUUCAUAGUUAAUUUCUACUAUGUUCAAAGGACCCGAACAAAUGUGGAUAUCACUUUUCAUGAUGUACUUGGUUUCAAUCAAAGGAGGAGUGUUGCGAGCGUAAUACUCAUGAAACUUAACAUCAAAGGUUUUGACUAUCAGUCUAGUACACCGUAAGAGAACCAUGUAUGCAACCUUAUUGGUGGAGUAACUCAAGAAUACGCCUUCAUUAGACUUCGAUGAAAAUUUGUUAAGGUGAUCCUUGUUGUUGAUCACAAAACAACUGUAGACAAAAAAUGCGAAAGUAGCGGAUGUUGGGUUUGCGGUUGUUUAGACCUUCAUAGGGAUUCUUGUUGAGGCAUUUGCAAAUGGCGCUUCUAUUUUGAAAAAAGCAUGCAAUUUGCACUACGUCCGCCCAGAACUAUAGAGGAGGGAUGGCAAAGUUUCACAUCGAUCUAGCGGUGUCGACCAAUGUUCGAUUUUUUUCGCUCUACUACUCCAUUUUGUUAGGUGUGUAGGGUGCCGAGAAAUUAUGACUGAUCCCCUUGGAAACUAAGAAGUUAUUUAAGAGCUGGUUUGUAAAUUCAGUUCCAUUUUCACUUCUUAUCCGUCUGACAGGUAGUUUGAUCUAGAGCUCUAUUUCUUUUAUGAAGUUGAUCAUGAGCUACGGUGUAUCUGAUUUGAGUAUCAAGAAGAAGACCCAAGUGAAUCGAGUAAAGUCAUCAACUAUAACUAUAAUAUAUUUCUUGUGAUGAAGACUAGCUAUGGUAGAUGAACCGUAGAGAUCAAUGUGAACUUGCUUUAAGGGUUCAAAAAUCAAAGAAUCUACUAUCUGAGAAUGGCUACCCUUUGUUUGUUUUCGAGAAUCACAAGCUAAAAAUAAUGUAUCAUUGUUGUACUUCAGGAUCGGUAAACCACGAACUAACUCUUCAGCUACCAGGUUGUCAAUGUUUCUAAAGUUGAGGUGAGCUAGUUUGCAAUGCCAUAAGCAACUUACUUCGGAUACUGCUUUGAACAGAAAACACAACUGUCUUUUGCCAAUGAUGAAAGAGACGUCCAGUGGGUACAUUGUUCCUUCAGCUUGGGACUUGAUCAAGCAUGUGCUCCUAUAACUCUUCACGAUGUAGCUGUAUUCAUUGUCGAACUCAAUUCAAUGACCAACAUUGCAUAACUAACCCACACAGAUCAUAUUAUGCUUUAGACCCUCUACAUAAGCAACUUUUUGAAUAGUGAUGGUCCGUGUAGUUAAUAUUCCAGGACCCCUGAUUAUUCCAUUUGCAUUGUUACCAAAAGUGACGUGUCCACUACUACUGAUUGGCUUGAAAUCUCAAUUGUAUUCCAUCCUUCCAGUCAUGUACAAGGAGCAGUCCCUAUCGGUUAACCAUUCCUCCUCUUGUUCCUCCUUGCACAUUGCCUACAAAAUCAGAGGGUUAGUUUGGGGGCCCAAACAAGUUUCAAUCCACAAGUAACGUAUGUCACUUUCCUACCAAAUGCAUGCACAUGAGACUUAUGAAAAUGUUUAUUUUCUUGCUUCAGUCCAAGUCCAGGAAGUUUUACUCCUUAGGAAAGUCACGAGUUGGGACAUGACGUAAAUCUUGAAGUGCAUAAAAGCCAAAUGUAAGUAUCUUCUCGUUUAACCAAAAACCAUAUUUUGUCAAAGGUUCGGAAGGUGAAGUUUCUUUCUUGUGUCCGGUUCUUGAAUGGUGUUGUGCUAGAGUAUUCUUGGGAUUUGAAAAAGAUUUGUCACAUAGCCUAAACUUUGACUUUGACUUGGUAACUGAUUGAAGUGGUUUUGAAAGAUUUGGAGUUGGCAAAAUAUCCUUAAAAUUUACAUCUGUUAAGGUAUUUUGUAAAAAUGACUUGACCUUAUUUUUAUGUUUUAUAUAAAUGUUUUGAAAAGGUUUUGUUACUGAUUGAUCCUUUUUGCAUGCUCCAUCAACUACAAUAGUUUUUGAAAGAUUUUCUGUAGUGACGGGUUUUUCGGAGUUCCUUUUGUUUGAAGCUUUGACUGUAUUUUUGAAAAAUUUGUUCUUGCAAUCAACUUCCCGCUUUUCACGUCGGGAUCUGAUUUGCUUUUGUAAAGCCAAUUUUUCUUGAACUUUUCGUGAGACCACAUCAUUGACAUUCAACUGAGGUUUUUUGGAUUUUUGAGGUAAAAUUUGAGGAGUUGACUAAUCUGAACUGCACAUUUAAUGACUUUGAGAACAUUGGCGAUAUUCAAAAUUAUUGAUUGGUAUUUCAUGCAAGAUAGGCUGAAGAGUGGUUGCGCAAUGGACUAGGGUAUGCGGUAGGGAAGAUUGAACUGCCGAAAAAUAAGUCAAGGGUAGCUUCUCAUCGGGAGCCUCAGAAUGCAGAUUUUCGACUUUAGUUGCUGGAAAUGGACUAGAAACAUUACCCUAAACUGUUUUGGUACUUCAAAACUUGUUUAGAUGGUGUAAUGUCUUUGCUAAUCCAUUUACAACAACACGUUAUCAAAAUUACAAAGUUUUAAGUGUAAUUUUGAUUCAUGCAAGUGUUCAUGUUCAUGUUCUUGAUCUUAUGAUGUUUAGAUGAUCAUAGGAAUUGUUUGUAACCUAUGUGGUAGAUUAAUUCUUGAUCAUUAUGUGUUUUAAUGGAGUCCAUAACUUGUCCUCAAGUUAUGGAAAACCAAAAGUCACUUUGCUUUAAAACCAUUAAAAGAACACAUGGGUUAUAAAAAUGAAGAGUCUUCAUUUUUAAUACCCGAAUAAACUCAUAAGUUACAAGAAAUGAAAAGUUUUGAAAGUUUACAAAACUUGCCCUCAAGUUUUGGAACAAGUAAAGUCAUGUUAAAACAUUAGUUCCAACCCUUAGAAUUUUAAAAGUUAAAAUUCUUCUACCCUUUUCCUUAUAAUAUUAUAAGUUAAUAUAUAUAUAUAUAUANNNNNNNNNNNNNNNNNNNNNNNNNNNNNNNNNNNNNNNNNNNNNNNNNNNNNNNNNNNNNNNNNNNNNNNNNNNNUAUAUAUAUAUAUAUGUAUGUAUAAGAUCAAAGUCGUCUUACCGUUAGUACGCCUCAUUCACAAAGCCGGUGUAUAAGGUGGGUAUAAGAUUGUUGCCUAUAAAAUGACAACUUAAUGGGUGUCCACUCUCACCCACCGCUUGCUUGACUGGUGGAGGGUCGUUAGCCGAACGGGUAGGACAAGGACUUAUAAAUUCUCAUUAAAAGUAUGAUUAAUAUUAUAAAUUAACUAAAUGUUUUUAUUAAAUUCCCAAUCUUAGUUACUUUAGGAAAAAUGUGAAUAAGUUUCUAAUAAAUGAAAUUACACUUUACACUUUAUUUAAGUCAUUGGUGGAGCGUGUGUGGUUAACCAGCACACUAACUUGGACUUAACAAGGUAGGUAAAGGGUAACUUAAGGUUUAUC